RNAcentral lists this long non-coding RNA (52142 nucleotides) under Sorghum bicolor (sorghum). Its description in RNAcentral is "long non-coding RNA (SBIC_LNC014674)". Lineage: Eukaryota; Viridiplantae; Streptophyta; Magnoliopsida; Poales; Poaceae. The record is from RNAcentral.
UUUAUUUAUUUAUUAAACACACUAAGCAAAAUAUAUAUAAGCAUAAAAUCUUUAUUUGGUUUUUCAUAGUUAUGUGUAUUUAUAUUCUAAUAUAGUAUAAGUAUAAAGAUAGAUAGAAAUACUUAUCGAGAUAAAUGGGGGUGCUCUCCCCCAAGCUGAAUUUUGACGUAAUUUCUCUUGAUGUAGCUAGCAGGUGGCAGAGGUGUGUUUGAAAGUCAGCAGUAUUUUGACAGCGAUUAGAAUGUCCUCCGUCUGCUAGUCUUCUUGAUUCUUAAAUUCUGUGGAGCUCAAAUAGACAACAAAGCUUGUGGAACUGGUUAAGUGUUAGCAUAAAUAUCUAGCCUUUAUCAUGUUGAGACUCCUUAAUAAAUAUUACUCCCUGUUUUUAUAUUUUUGUUUUUAUAAAGCAGAAAAAUAUUUAUUUUAUUUUUAUGCCACCACAGUGAAUGUACUUAUGGGUUUUAUGCCACUCGUCUACUCACAUGGGGCUUACAGUUUUUUUCACAUUUUUAUUUUCUUUCUAGGAUAAUACGAACAUGAUUAACUAAGUAAACUAUUUGAAAUAAUUAAAAGGGAAAGGAUAACUACCAAGUUUACCUCUUGGCAAGGCGUUCGGUGUUUUUAAGUCCUCCGAGCGGGACUCUCCAUUUUCUUAAUCGUCCUGGGAUUCGCUGGAUGACGUAGUCGGUGAUUCCGGUGGCGCCUCCUCUUCGUGUGUAACUGUAUUCUCUCUCCACACCUGACUCGGUGCUAUGGUCUCCUCAGGACAGUUAUGUUCAAGUGGUAUGUCUUCAGUCCUUAUCACUUCUUCUUCGUAGUCUACCCAUCCGUCCUUGAUGAUUUGCCUCCUCUGGUUGCGGUUGCGAUGUCUUCUUCUUGUCCUGACCUGCUUAGAGUCUUCAACUAUAUAGUUAGGGUCAGUAAAACAGCGGCAUACCUACUCAGAGGAGAAGUGUAUGUGGACUUCUCCGGUUCCAAUAUAGAUGAUGGCUUUGAUAGUGCUGAGGAACUGUCUUCCAAGGAUGGUGGGUGGAUCAUAUUCAUCUUCUCCCAUGUCAAUAACUUGAAAGUCAUCUAUAGCUGAAUGUAUAUUGGUUGUAGGGGCAUGGUUUCAUGCAGGAGCUGAUAAGUGACUACGACCAUUAUGUUGACGUCAGAUCCGGUGUCAUAGAGUGUCCUCUGAAAAGAGUAUCUGUUGAUUGUGCACUCAAUGCUUAGAACACCAGGGUCGUCCUUCUUGAUCAAGAAAGGUGACUUGAGUCGACGAUCUUGACCUCCUUGAACUGCAGUGACCAUCUUAGCUGACUCGGUCCACAUUUGCUUGUUCCUGUUCCUCCUGUUGGUCCUCUUCCUUGGUUGAUGUCGAGGUUGCUCUGAAGUUUGUGUAGUCUUGUUCUUGAAGGAAAGUCUCCUUCUUCCCCUUGAUGUAGAGACUGAUCUUGGCAGCAUUAGCGUAGAUGACAUCUCUAGUGUUUAGGAAUGACCUCCCUAAGAUGAUGGGUGCCCUCUCCUCAGUACCAGUCUCUAUCACCAUGAAGUCUGCUAGAGCGUAUAAGGUACCAACUCGGACGCAGAGGUUCUUCAAUAUUUCCUUUGGGAAACUGAGUGUCCGAUCUGCAACCCUAGGCAUAAUGUUGACGCUGGAGCCAAAGUCGCAGAGUGCUUCUGGGAAGUCCACCAUGCCGAUGGAGAUCGGGAUGACGGGACGUCCUAGAUCACCUCUCUGAGUAAUUAGGCCUCUGUUGAUUCCAACCUUGAUGUUGUUGAGGACGGUUGUAGUAAUAGUUGUUAUUGUUGUUGAUGUAGUUCACGUCCUCAAGCAUCUUAGGGCAGUGAUUGCCUGAGCGUCCAGUAUCUCCAGUGUGUUUGUGCUCGUAGAUCCUAGUUCUUCACUUGGUGGAAUCUGGGAGUUGUAAAACUCCUUCAUAUUAUGCUCGAAGUGUUCCUGCUCAUAGAGACAAGGUAGAGAUCAAGUGCAUGAGCCCUGUUGGUGGAAAGAUAAUCUAUCUAUAUUUAUGUUUUGUUUAUAUCUUCCAAAGAUUGGAUGUGCAAUACUUUAGCUUAUAUGAUUAGGAGUGUGGGGUCACGAAGAUAGUACUAAGAACAAAGAUUAAAGGACUAAACAUGUUGAAUUAAUUGAGUUGGUUAAUUUGGAGUUAUAAAUCAUACAUGUUUGUCUCUUUAUUUAUGUGAAUGCCAGAACCAAGGAGGAGCUUAUAAAAGUGUUAGUCAAGUACCUUAAGAUGUUACCUUACUUGAAGAGUGAUGGUACAGUAUCACCUUGUGGAAGCUUUCCUUUCUUAGCGGUUGUGCAUCGUGUUUGUGGCACCCUCCAUGAAUCAUCUCUUAUGAGCUACGUCUUUCUUGUGCAAAUUGUUAAACUUCAUGUGUCACUUUCUUCAUCUCUAAUGAGUUUGCAUCUCAGGACUUCCCAGGUUGUUAUUGAAAGUUUUCCUACAGGGGUUAGUCCAAUAAAAUAUACCAAUAUCUACUCAAACAGUUUUUAGUUCAGUAACCAAACUAGACUCCAUGUCUAAUCAGAUUAAGGAAGGCUAUUUAACCUAAGCACCACGCUUAAUUUAAAUGCCAUUGGAAGUGUGACCAGUACUUCCAAACUAACACUUACUAGGAUAAACAAAGGUAGCAUGAUGGCUUUUAUAGAGAUCUACUCAAGUGGAGAUGAAGUAGUGUGAUUAGUAUUUAAUAAAUUGAGCAUGUCUCAAAGGUAAGGACAACCAACAUAGCAACAUGGCAAAGGAUGUUUUAUGUAAAGUACUCCCCCAAGCUUGAAUUUUGCAAAAUUCAAGAUUGGAUGAAUUUAAUUUAAUGUUGCAUGAUGAUUGGUUGGGCAUACCUUGCGCUUGUCAUUCAUCCGAUCUUCUUGCUCCAAUCCUAGAAAGGUUAGUGGCAAGAAUACCCGAAGGAAUAUUUCUACAAUUAUCUUUAUAUGCUCAAUACACAAGGCAAUGUUGCAAAUAAUUAGAAGUGCUUGUUUUAGGACACUAAGCUUGUCCUUGGGGAACCAUCAAUUAACUCAACGAGAUCUGCAAUAUUUAUUAUAGACAUAUGCAUCGACAACCGCCCUUUUAAAGUUUUUAUAAAUAGAAAAGAAGAGGGGGUUGGAGAUCUCAAAUGUGGUAAGGAUGGAGAGACAAAUUGAUUGGAGAGAUGUUUUAUAUGAGCAAGGACUGGGUGAGGUAUUUAUGAAAUAACUUCCAUGCUCACUGUUGUUUCUCUCAUUCUCAAACUCCAAGGAUGAUUCUUCAUGAAUGAUUAAAAUUCCUCUAGGAUUGUCUCUCAAGUUUGUUUUAUCUAUCCAUUCAAUGGUGAUAGCACAUGGAUUUUUAAUGCCCUCUAGCCAUUGAUGUUGCUCUUCUCGAUCCUCCUUGCGGUCGUUGUGACCUUUAUGCAUGGGCUGUCUAGAUAGAUUCAUAGGAUCAUCGGGAGGUUCAAGAGAAAGAGCAUAGUAGAAAUUAUUAAGUUCAAGGAUGGGUUGGAUAGCCGAAUCAUGGGAUUGGAAUGUUUGGAAAUCGGCUAUUGAAACUUCCUUUCCUUGUCUGGGAGAUGAUUCCUUCUCUAUCUCUAAGAUUUUUCUAUGAAGACUAGUACAAGAAAGAUGUCCACGAACGAAGACAUACCUUCCUUUACUAAUAGAUAAAGAAAGAAAGACUCUACCAAAGGUUAUAUGAUUAAGACCAAUGUGAAAAUAUCUAGGAAAAACAUGGUCUUGUAGGGCUAGGUCUAAACCAGAAUUUAUAGAAAGAUUAAAAGAUUCCCUAGGUGUAGCUAAAAGUGCAUUAUCUUCUUGAUUAAAAGAUAGGACCUCAGCUAUAGAAAAGGGUUGGUUUUGACCUAUUGCAAUCAACUCCGGACAGAGAUCAUAAUUAGGGGCAGGACGUGUUGACUCCCAUGGUCUAUGGCUGGUCUCCGAAGGUGCAAAGAAUUUAAUUAUAGGUAUGGAAUUUGAGUUAUCCAUAAAGAUAAAAAUAAAAGGAUAAAAGUAUAAAAGUAUAAAAGUAUAAUACAAGAUAAUAGCAAGACUCAAAGUUAUCUCAGCAAACCGUCUUUGUCCCCGGCAACGGCGCCAGAAAUGCUUGUUGAUAUUUGGUAACGCAAUUAGAAAAUGAUCCGCAAGCGCACGGAUAUCGGUGAGCAUUUCACCCGGGAGGUUAUCCAGAGUUAUCGUAUUUAUAUUUUUACCACUGGGAGAAAGGGUGCAUCGGACUAACCAAAUCUAUUGCUACUAUCCCUUUAGGCUACAAAGAAUGUCUCUCGAUGUGAGUGAUGUAUAGAGAAGACUGCAACCGUAGUCUCAUUCUAACCUUGGUAAGGAUGAUCUACUGUUCUAUUGGGGAGGCUCACGGAAUCUAGACAACACAAAGGAUGUUCGACCCGCACCUAUAAACCUACCCGUCCAGCUAACGAGAUGUGAUCUACAAAGGUAACUCGGAAAUGUCACGUUCCUCGCUACUACCACGGUCCAGCUAGUUAGGGGAUAUCUAUGAGUACCCUAGCCUAAACACCACGUUUACGCUAACAAGUGAUUACUCUAAUACUCAACCGGAAGAGGAUUAAAGUAAACUCAUAAACCAAAGAACAAUAAAACAAGAACUUACUAGUAUUAGAAGUCGAAUUACUGAAGAAUCUUAGAAGCAAGCCUCGAGUUAGGAGACUUGAUCCCGUAGGUACAACUCGGAGUAGACACCGACACGCCGGCCUUCCUCCAAUCCACACCUCCACUCUAUCUCUCUCAAUCUAGUAGAAACUAGAAGAUCUAUUUCUACUUUACAUUGGUUGCUAAGCCUAAAAAGAAAUAUUAUUUAGAGAAGAGGUUUUCCUUCGAGGGCACCCCUCAAUCUCUAUGAUAAUUUCUUGUCUCCUCUAGGGGCCAGGGGGCCUUGCUUAUAUAGUCCUCCCCUUCUAUGCGUUUUUGGGUCGAUAGGCGAGGUGGUACUAUGUUUUUCUUGAUCCAAUAGGUCGGUGGAAUAUCCUGAGCGAAAGAGUCCUGAUUUGGCUCCAACGGGGGGCGGGCGCCCAGGCUACCAGGGCGGGCGCCCUGGGCCUGGCCCCUUUCGGGCUCCGCUUCCUUCCCGUGGCUUCUGGAGUCUUCUAGAUGGUAGAAAAUUGCGCGGUGGGUUGAUAUCUCUAUGUAAUCCCCGACAUGUGGGCCUUUCUUCCUUAUUUCCUGAUAACCCCCUGCAGAAAUAGACAAACACCAAAACUCGUGGAAUUCUGUCAGAUAAAACCCUAAGUCUAGAUGUUGAUUUUAUUUGGAUCCUUUUCUUUGUUUAUUUGAUAAUUAAAUUUGAUACUUAAGGACCGUCAACAAUGAUGACGGGCGAUUCCCCUCCCUUAGCAACCUGUUUCUACGUCAUGGGGGGUCGCUCGAGACUGUCCAAGAGCUCAUCCGGGGUGUCAAGGCGCGCACGGAGGAGGAGAUGGAAAACUGGUGCCCUGAUCGGAUCCGCAUUCGGGCCUCCACCGACCCAUCUGAGCCUAACAUCUUUAUGGAUGAUCGGAAGGAGGCCGAAAAGUGGGAACAUCUCGAGGAGCUUCGCCUCUGGAUGAAGCACGUGGUGGGGCUCCUGUCUGACAUCGUCAACAACGGGCUCGGUCCAGCUUAUUUUGUAAGUGUCCUUGGACCUUAAUUUCCAUAGGACGUUUAGUUUUCUAUUCUCACUGUUCAACCGCUGGCUCACAAGAUCUGAAAGAGACCUCCCGCAUAAAGUUGAGUUUUAUCCACGUGAUGAGGGGCGGCUGGGAGCAACUCCCUCUUCUCAAGGACCAACUCCUCGAGUCGCAGGAGAAUCUCCUCAAGGCCUACAAAGAGCUUUUGGCGCUCGAGGAGGAGAAAAAGGAGAGGGAGGCCGCUUUGGCCGAAGCUCGAGAGACCUCGAGGAAGGCGGUGGAAGAGGCCACACGGCUGAGGGAGUGAAUUAUGACGGUCGAGGAGGUUGCAUCCAACGCCCGUUAAGAGGCCGCGUUCUAUAAGGAAGCCGCCACCGAUCUUGAUGAGGAAAAGGUCCUUAUCAAGGCUGACCUCGCCUCUGCCCGAGAAGCCUUCCAAGAGAUGAAGGUGGAGUGCGUGAAGGGCGAGAUUGCUCGGAGCGCCACAGAGGAGGCCAGGAAGAAGGCCCUCGAGGAUCUCGAGGCAGAACGGGCUCGAUCUCGCAGCCUCUCUGAUGACGUUGAUCGUCUAAAGAGAGCGCUGCUGGAGAAGGAGGGAGCUAUCGCGCAGGCGGGCAAGGCGAUCGAGGACUUGCGGGUCGCCAACACCGACCUGGCCCGCUCUAACAGGGAGGUGAAGAGGGCCAACACCGAUUUGGUUGGUCAAAACACUGCUCUGGAGGAGAGGAUUCGUGGUAGGCUUCUUUAUACCUCUUUUUGCAAGGUAUUUUUUGGUGUCGUCUAAUUUCUAUGCAUCGGUCUCCGCAGGGCUUAAGGACGAGCUUCUGGCUGUUCAGGUCGAGGCUCGCUCCGCCAAGGGUCGGCUUGAGGGGGAGGUUGCAUUGAACGGUCGAUUAAGGACCGCGAUAAAUGACCUCUCAGUCUCCUGGGAGCUCGAGCCUACGGAUGAGUCGAAGGAGGAAGCUCGAGGCGACGCGUUGGUCGAUCAGCUGUGCUACCUAGGCGCGACGCUGAGAGAUCGAGUGCGUGAUGCUCUUCAUACCGGGGUGAAGCGGGCAAUGGCGGUUGUCUGCUCAGGCUUUUCUUAUGAUAUGGAGGUGGUGUCCCACGGCUUCAUCACCGACAUCUCCAAAACCGACGCAGAGAACGAGGAGAGGCUCCACGCCUUGAUCGACGAUGCGGAGGCCCCUGGGGAAAGGUUGGCGAAGUUGUUCGAGCUGGAAGUCCUUCCUCCCGAGACUAGCUCGGGCGCGGACGAUGGUGGUGAGGGCCGAGACACAGACUGAGGCCUGCGAGCCUAUUCUGGGUGUUGAGGCCCCUUGUAUAGUACUUUUUAUCUUAAGGAAAUGUUAUGUCUUUAAGUGGUUUAUGAGAUCUGUGAAUAUCUGCUAACUUUUGUGCUUGGAAUUCCUUUGCUUCCUCGUUUGGUUUUUUUGUUAAGGCGACCUUGAUUGCCUCGAGGGUGAGGGAGCGAGUAGAGUUACCGUAGCCCGGGGGCGUAGGUGUUCUCAGGCUCGUCAUCUCUCGGCCCUUAAGGGGCUCGAGGUGCCUUUACUACUCGACCGUGUGAGGCAUACUUAAAGGAAAAAAUCGUUCGGUUUUUAGGAACUUUCGGGGGGGUCCCCCUGCUAGCCCCCGAGGGGGUAUCGACUAUGAUGGGUCAUAGUUGGUACUCCCUUCUAACGUCGAGAUUUUGACCAAUGGAAAAGUAAAUUACUCGAGGGAAAGAUCUCAUUCGUUCAUGCAUUCAUUCAUAAAAUCUUGGUACAGAAUGUACAUGGGAACAUAAAGCUUUUUGUUGGGUAUUUUAAACGCAAACAGAAAAAUCCGCAAGCGCACGGAUACCGAUGUAGCUUUCACCCGGGAGUAUUCCAGAGUAUCGAUUUUCCACAGAGAACGUGAGUGUACUAAUUAAGAUCCAAGAUCGCCCAAGGAUAACUAUAUAAUUAUUUUUGGUGGGAAGAGAGGAAGUUUCCUGAAAGUUCUCUAGUUGAUCUAAGAAUCAAGAAUUACUUCAAGAUUAUCUAUUUUGGGACAUCAGAGCACUAACCACAGAAAGAGAUGAGAAGGGGGCUAGGAAGGUCUGGCUACGGUCCUACAAACACCGAUCCGAACGAGGUGGAAUACGUCGACCGUUAGGGCUGUCACUACCCUAAGGCUACCACAACAAUCCGCAGGAUUGGGUGCAAUUCCAGGUAAUUGCAAGACUAAACACCACGUCUAAUCUAUUAAUUACUACUCUAAUGUUGCAAAGAUUAGAGCACUUGAUGCAAGCGGGAAUCCAAUAAAUAACUUGAAUGUAAAUGAAAGUAAUUAAAGAACUCAGGAAUUAUGAGUUGAAGAACCUGGAGAACGAUGAAGAACGAACCAGUUGCUGCAAAAGUACAAUGUUGAGGAAGAUCGAACAUAUCCGGCUCCUCCUCCGCUCUCCUCUUCUCUCUCCCUAUUUUCUAGAUUACAACUAGAACUAGAACUAGAGGAACUAGAACUAGAACUAGAUGAACUAGAACUAGAACUAGAUGAACUAGAGGUAGAACUAGAAGAACUAGAGGGAUCCUCUCUACUUGUAUGAAGAAUUGAAACCCUAACUUUGAUUCUGUAGAAGAGGUAUGAUCUCCAGGGGCCAAGGGGCCUUGCUUAUAUAGUCUUUUCAGAUGAAUCUGGGCCGUCGGAUCAAACCGACAUUAAUCGCACGGUUUUCUUUGAUCCCUUAGGUCGGUGGAGCAUAAUCGGCGAACGUGUCCUAAUUGGACUCUGGAAGUGGGCGGGCGCCCUCAGGACUAGGGCGGGCGCCCUGUCCGUGAGCCCUCUCGGCUUCCGCUUUGUUCCCGACGUGUGGGCCUUUCUUCCGUAUUUCCUGAUAACCCCCUGCAGAAAUAGACGAACACCAAAACUUGUGGAAUUCUGUCAGAUAAAACCCUAAGUCUAGGUGUUAGAUGCAUUUGGAUACUUUUCCAUGAUUAGUUGAUGGUUAAAUGUGAGCAUUAAGAACCGUCAAAAAGCUCCCCCAAGCUUAACCUUUGCUCGUCCCUGAGCAAAGAUGAACUCAAGAGUUUCUGCAGUGGUUUCAUGCUUUAAAGGUACAUAUGCGUUCAAACAAGAUCUCAUCUCUGGGUUAGGCUAAAUUGUUAAGAUUUAAUCUUACUCAUUUUACCUUCCACCAUGGGGCUUGCAACCAUCACUUGUAUCUUGAGCAGUUAAAAGAUAGAACGGUCUAGUCAAGCGCCAUGUCUCUUGUUCUUCGAUUAACUAUAGCUCUGGUUUUUUUCAGAUUCUCAAAUAAAACUCAGAGAUUCCUUGUAUGACUCUCUCUAGUCUCUCUUUUGUGGUAUUUCUGGAUCCUUACCAAGGCAGUAAUGGUGUAUGCCUACUCUCAAAGUAUGUGGUAUUGUUGGUAUGAGGCAUAGUGGCAUUGCCUUCUCUCUCACCCUACUCUAAUAAGGUUGUGAUAUCUGGAGCUCAUAGGUGGGAGACAGCUAAUACAUACUUACAAAACAUUUAUUGCAUAGUCAAACUAUGGAUCGAAAGAAACAAGUCAAUAAGUCAAAUCAAGAUGUGCAUGUGUGACGAAUGAAUGGUGUAUGGUGAUGAUGGUGAUAACAAUGGUGAAAGUCUAAUUCUACUUGUUCUCUUUUGAGGGGAUACAUACCUUUCUUGCUCUUUUGAAACUUUUUGAGGAGAAUGAGAUGCUCUAUAUUUUCUUUUUCUUUCCUCUCAGGUGGGUAUCUUGUACCCCUAAUUCUACUGUCGGACACUUGUCCUUUUUUACCUCUCGUCUCACUUUUUCUUUUCUUUCGAGGUUCCGGGCACUUGCCCCUUUUUAUUUCCUCGUAUUCUUUCUUUUUUUUCUCUCUCUCUUUUUUUAGAGCACUCAUCUCCUGAAAUAAUAUAGCAAGUGGUAGUAACCAAAAUAACUUGAGCAUUUAUUUCACAGGGAAAAACAGAAAUUUUUUUGGCUAUUCUCUCCCGGAUUAGGAGUAGAAUAUUUUUAGGUGAUUCUGGAGACGGAAAUGGGUGGAUAUAUGUGGAUGCGUACUUUCGGAGUAGAAGCAGCAUGUGUGAGUGAACGUGCAAGUGAAUCUUGAUUUAACCACAUGACAAGCUCCUAAGGGUCUACACAGCUUGACCACACUCAAUGCUCAUAAGCAGUAAAAAGUAAAUGUGUGGCUCAAAGUUUAGCAAGCAUGUAUAUAUGGCUGUGGUAGGAAUUUAAACUCUCAUUAUACAGGAACUCAUCAUGCAACAUUUUAAAGAUUUUCAAAGAUAAAAUUCUCUAGAAUUCUAGCAUCUCUAGGAAGAGAUAAACAACAGCUUAACCUUCCCAUAUCAUAUCCGUUAACAACUUAGACUUUAGAUCAAGUACUCUUCCCACGUUUAGAGCAAAUCUUAAUUAAUAACAGUCAUGCCUAAACUUGAGAGAGAUUUCAAUUUUGAGAACUAGUCAUGGCAGAGCAACUAUUCAUCAUUUCCAUGUAAGAGCUUAUCAUGAGGGUUCAUAGCAAACUUAAUUUAUUUAUUUAUUUAGCAAACUAAGCAAAGAUAUAUAUAUAUAAGCACAAAAUCUUUAUUUGGGUUUUUAUGAUUAUGCAUCUUUUUAUUAUUUGAGUAAAGUAUAACCUUGAGUAGAACACUUAGCUGGAUAAAUGAGGGUGCUCUCCCCCAAGCUGGAUUUUGCCAUAAUUCUUUCUGAUGUAGCUAGCAGGUGGUGGAGGUAUAUUUGAAUGUUGGCAGCACCCUGACAGCGAUUAGGAUGUCCUUCGUCUGAUAGUCUUCUUUGAUCCUUGAAUUCUGUGGAGCUCAAAUAGACAACAAAGCUUUGUGGAACUGGUUAAGUGUUAGCAUAAAUAUCUAGCCUUUAUCAUGUUGAGCCUCCUCAAUAAAUGUUACACUCUUUGGUAGGAUCAUAAAUUUAUUUUUAUAUUUUCAUUUUUAUAACACAUAAAUAUAUUUAUUUUAUUUUUAUGCCACCACAGUGAAUGUACUUAUGGGUUUUAUGCCAUGAGCAUACUCACAUGGGGCUUACUAUUUAACAUUUUUAUUUUCUUUUCAAGAUGAUAUGAACCUGAUUAACUAAGCAAACUAUUUUAAAAUAAUUGAAAGGAAAAGGAUAACUACCAAGUUUACCUCUUGGUAAGGCGUUCGGUGUUUUUAAAUCCUCCGAACGGGACUCUCCGCUUUCUCUGUCGUCCUGGGAUUCGCUGGAUGGCGUAGUCGGUGGUUCCGGCGGCGCCUGCUCUUCAUGUAUAACUAUCUUCUCUCUACACACCUGACUCGGUGCUACGGUCUCCUCAGGACAGUUCUGAUCAAGUUGUAUGUCUUCAGACCUUACCACUUCUCCUUCGUAGUUUGCCCAUCCGUCCUUGAUGAUUUGCCUCCUCUGGUUACGGUUGUGUCGUCUUCUUCUUGUCCUGACCGGCUUAGAGUCUUCAACUAUAUAGUUAGGGUCAGUAAAAUACCGGUGUACCUUCUAAGAGGGGAAGUGCAUGUGGACUUCUCCAGUUUCAAUGUAGAUGAUUGCUUUAACGGUGCUAAGGAACGGUCUUCCAAGGAUAAUGGGUGGAUCGUACUCGUCUUCAACCUUUCGGAAUGUCCGAUCUGCCAUCUAGAGCUGAAUGUAUGUCGGUUUUAGGGGCAUGGUUCCGAAUAGAAGCUGAUAGGUGGCUGCGGCCAUUAUGUUGACGCUUGACCCGGUGUCGCAAAGCGUCUUCUGGAAGUUGUAUCCAUUAAUGGAGCACUGGAUGCUUGGGAUACCUGAGUCGUCCUUUUUGGUCAGGAACGAUGAUUUAAGUCGACGAUCUUGACCUCCUUGAACUGCAGUGACCAUCUUAGCUGACUCGGUCCACAUUUGCUUGUUCCUGUUCCUCCUGUUGGUCCUCUACCUUGGUUCAUGUCGGGAUUGCUCUAAGAUUUGUGUAAUCUUGUUCUCGAAGGAAAACGUCUCCUUCCUUCCCUUGAUGUAGAGACUGAUCUUGGCAGCACUAGCGUAGAUGACAGCUCCCGAGGUGUUCAUGAAUGUCCUCCCUAGGAUGACGGGUGCCCUCUCAUCAGAACCAGUCUCUAUCACCACGAAGUCUGCUGGAGCGUAUAAGGUACCAACUCGGACGUAGAGGUUCUUCAAUAUUCCCUUUGGGAAACUUAGUGUCUGAUCCUAGGCAUAGUGUUGACGCUGGAGCCAAAGUCACAGAGUGCUUCUAGGAAGUCCACCAUGCCGAUGGAGAUCGGGAUGACGGGGCGUCCUGGAUUGUCUCUCUUGACUGGCAGAAGGUCAGUAAUUACUUCCACAACAGGGUUACUCUAGUAGUUACGUCCUCAAGCAUCUCAGGGCAGUGAUUGCCUGAGUGUCCAGUAUCUCCAGUGUGUUUGUGCUCGUAGAUCCAGGUUCUUCACCUGGUGGAGUCUGGGAGUUGUAAAAGUCCUUCAUAGUUUGCUUGAAGUGUACCUGCUCAUAGAGACAAGACAAAGAUCAAGUGCAUGGGUCCUGUUGGUGGAAAACACCAACAGAACCAAAAGUGUAUUUGUUAUUCUCUAACCUUAAGCAUAGUGAGCAAGACAAAGUUGAUGGAUAAUAAGAUCACGAGUGUAGCAUUUAAACAUUUGUCAGAUCAGAUCGCUCAACCUAAUGGAAAGAUAAUCUAUCUAUACUUAUGUAUUGUAUAUAUAUAUAUCUUCCCAAAGAUUGAAUGUGCAACAUUUUCGCUCAUAUGAUUAGGAGUGUGGGAUCACAAAGGUGGAAGGACUAAACAUGUUGAAUCGAUUGAGUUGGUUAAUCUAGAGUUGUAAAUCAUACAUGUUUGUCUCUUUUAUUCAUGUGAACGCCAGAAAUAAGGAGAAGCUUAUAAAAGUGAUAGUCAAGUACCUUAAGAUGUUACCUUACUUGAAGAGUGACGGUACAGUAUCACCUUGUGGAAGCUUUCCUUUCUUAGCGGUUGUGCAUCGUGUUUGUGGCACCCUCCAUGGAUCAUCUCUUGUGAGCUAUGCCUUCCUUGUGUAAAUUAUUAACCUUCAUGCGUCUCUCUCUUUGUCUCCAAUGUGAGUUUAUCUCAGGACUUCCCAGGUCGAUAUUGAAAGUUUUCCUGCAGGGGUUAGUCCAACAAAAUAUCCAAUAUCUACUAUAGCAUACUAUCGGCUCAAAGAUCAACCUAGACACCAUGUUUAAUUUGAUUUAGGAGGGCAUUUUAACCUAAGCAUCAUGCUUAAUUUAAACUCCCUUUGAAGUAAGAUCAUCAGCCCUAAACUAAGCACCAUGCUUAAUUAAGAGAUAAAUGAAACUACUCCAAACCUAGACAUAUACUAAAGCAAAUAAAGGUAGCAUAAGAGCAUUUAUAGAGAUCUACUCAAGUGGAGAUGAAGUAGUGUGAUUAGUAUUUAACAAAUUGAGCAUGUCUCAAAGGUAGGGACAACCAACAUAGCAACAUGGCAAAGGAUAUUUUUAUGUAAAGUACUCCCCCAAGUUUGAAUUUUGCAAAAUUCAAGUUUAGAUGAAUUUAAUUCAAUGGUGUAUGAUGAUUGGUUGGACAUACCUUCUGCUUGUCAUUCAUCCGAUCUUCUUGCUCCAAUCCUGGAAAGGUUAGUGACAAGAAUACCCGAAGGAAUUUUUUUUACAAUUAUCCUUAUAUGCUCAAUACACAAGGUAAUGUUGCAAAUAAUAAAAAGCUCAUGUUACGAUCUGAUCAAUGCUUAUUUUAGGACACUAAGCUUGUCCUUAGGAAACCAUCAAUUUAUGUCGGCGAAGUGGUUUCCCCUCCAACGCUGACCUAUAUCAAGAUCAACUCAACGAGAUCUGCAAUAUUUAAUAUAGACAUAUGCAUCGACAACCGCCCUUUUAAAGUUUUUAUAAAUAGAAAGGACGAGGGGGUUGGAGAUCUCGAAUGUGGUGAUUUUGGAGAGACCAAAAGAUUGGGAAGAUGUUGCAUAUGAGCAUGGAGUAAACGAAGUGGCUAUGAAAUACAUUCCAUGCUCAUUAAUGCUUGGAGUGAAAUCCAUGUGGUGUGGUGAAAAUGGUAAGGUGAGUGUGGUAAAAAGAAAAGAAAAAGGAUACACGGACGACUUGGUUCGAAACUAGCACAGCUACCGUUCCCCGGCAACGGCGCCAGAAAGCUUGUUGGGUAUUUGAAACGCAAACAGAAAAAUCCGCAAGCGCACGGAUACCGAUGUAGCUUUCACCCGGGAGUAUUCCAGAGUAUCGAUUUUCCACAGAGAACGUUAGUGUACUAAUUAAGAUCCAAGAUCACCCAAGGAUAACUAUAUAAUUAUUUUUGGUGGGAAGAGAGGAAGUUUCCUGAGAAUUCUCUAGUUGAUCUAAGAAUCAAGAAUUACUUCAAGAUUAUCUAUUUCGGGACAUCAGAGCACUAACCACAGAAAGAGAUGAGAAGUGGGCUAGGAAGGUCUGACUACGGUCCUACAAACACCGAUCCGAAUGAGGUGGAAUACGUCGACUGUUAGGGCUGUCACUACCCUAAGGCUACCACAACAAUCCGCAGGAUUGGGUGCAAUUCCAGGUAAUUGCAAGACUAAACACCACGUCUAAUCUAUUAAUUACUACUCUAAUGUUGCAAAGAUUAGAGCACUUGAUGCAAGCGGGAAUCCAAUAAAUAACUUGAAUGUAAAUGAAAGUAAUUAAAGACUCAGGAAUUAUGAGUUCAAGAACCUGGAGAACGAUGAAGAACGAACCAGUUGCUGCAAAAGUACAAUGUUGAGGUAGAUCCAACAGAUCCGGCUCCUCCUCCGCUCUCCUCUUCUCUCUCCCUAUUUUCUAGAUUACAACUAGAACUAACUAGAACUAGAACUAGAGGAACUAGAACUAGAUGAACUAGAACUAGAUGAACUAGAACUAGAACUAGAUGAACUAGAGGUAGAACUAGAAGAACUAGAGGGAUCCUCUCUACUUGGAUGAAGAAUUGAAACCCUAACUUUGAUUCUGUAGAAGAGGUAUGAUCUCCAGGGGCCAGGGGGCCUUGCUUAUAUAGUCUUUUCAGAUGAAUCUGGGCCGUCGGAUCAAACCGACAUUAAUCGCAUGGUUUUCCUUGAUCCCUUAGGUCGGUGGAGCAUAAUCCGCGAAACGUGUCCUGAUUGGACUCUGGAAGUGGGCAGGCGCCCUCAGGUCUAGGGCAGGCGCCCUGUCCCUGAGCCCUCUCGGCUUCCGCUUUGGUCCCGUGGCUUCUGGAGUCUUCUAGAUGAUAGAAAAUUGCGUGGCACGUUAAUAUCUCUAUGUAAACCCAACGUGUGGGCCUUUCUUCCGUAUUUCCUGAUAACCCCCUGUAGAAAUAGACAAACACCAAAACUCGUGGAAUUCUGUCAGAUAAAACCCUAAGUCUAGGUGGUAGUUGCAUUUGGAUCCUUUUCCAUGAUUAGUUGAUGGUUAAAUGUGAGCAUUAAGAACCUCAACACUUUUGAACUCUAGGGGUAGAAUCGACGUAGCUGUUCGAUGUUCCACGCGUUGGUGAAGACUGCCCCUUUUUCGUCCGCGAGCUUGUAUGUCCCUGGCUUUAGGACCUCAGCCACCACGUAUGGGCCCUCCCAGGGCGGAGUCAGCUUGUGGCGCCCUUGGUUGCUUGGCACCACCGUAGGACAAGAUCGCUCACGUUCAGAUCCCUUUUGCGCACGUGCUUGUCGUGGUAGUGUCGAAGCUUCUGCUGGUAUCUGGCGGAGUUGAGGAGGGCCAUGUCUCGAGCUUCCUCGAGCUGGUCGACCGCGUUCUCUCGAGUCUCCUUAUUUGUCUGCUCGUUGUAGGUUUUGAGUUGAGGGGACCCAUACUCGAGGUCUAUUGGAAGCACGGCCUCGGAGCCGUAGACCAUGAAGAAUGGGGUGUAUUUCGUGGCCCUGCUAGACGUCGUCCUUAAGCUCCAUAGGACCGAAGAGAGCUCUUCGACCCAUUUCUUGCCGAAUUUCUUCAACCGGUUGUAGAUUCUUGGUUUGAGCCCCUGCCAUAUCAUGUCGUUGGCACGCUCGACCUAGCCGAUAGUUCGAGGGUGGGCUACUGCGGACCAGUUCACACGGAUGUGAUGUCGGUCACAGAAGUCCAAGAACUUUUUGCCGGUGAACUGGGUGCCGUUGUCGGUGAUGAUGACGUUGGGAAUCCCAAACCGGUGGAUGAUGUCGGUGAAGAAGAGGACGGCCUGCUCAGAGCGGAUGUUCGUGAUGGGUCGGGCCUCGAUCCAUUUGGAGAAUUUGUCGACGGCCACCAGCAAAUGGGUGUAUCCUCCUACUGCUUUCUGUAGAGGCCCUACGAGGUCGAGACCCCAUACCGCGAACGGCCACGUGAUGGGGAUCAUCUGAAGAGCAAGGGCGGGAAGAUGCGUCUGCUUGGCGUAAAAUUGGCACCAGUGGCAUGAGCGUACGAGCUCGAUGGCGUCGGCUACGGCUGUUGGCCAGUAGAAGCCUUGUCGGAAUGCGUUCCCCACGAGGGUCCGCGGAGUAGCGUGGUGGCCGCAAGCCCCCGAGUGUAGAUCCUCGAGGAGUUUUCGGUCUUCUUCUAUAGUGAUACAUCGCUGUAAGAUUCCUGUCGGGCUUCGUCGGUAUAGUUCCUUAUUUUCACCGUAGAUUACGUAUGAUUUGGCCCGUCGAGCGAUAUGGUGGGCCUCGGAUCGGUCUUCUGGUAGCUCGCAUCGAAUCAGGCAGUCGAGGAACGGCCUGCGCCAGUCGAACGGUCGACCGGGUCGCUGUUCAGCUUCCAUCACUUCUGCCGCUACCAGCAGGGCGUCGAUGGAGUCAGUUUGUCGGAGGGUGGUGGUCUCGACGUCAGCCCCCGAGCCCAAGUUGACCGAUGGUUCGUGCAAAUCCCUCGAGAACGCGUCGGGCGGGACCGUGCCUCGAGUCGAGCGAUCUUGGCGAGUUCGUCGGCUGCCUCGUUGUAGCGUCGGGCGAUGUGGAUGAGCUCGAGGCCAUGGAACUUGUCCUUGAGCCGUUGUACUUCCUUACAAUAUGCUUCCAUUUUUGGGUCGUGGCAGUUUCAAGCUUUCAUCACUUGGUCGAUGACGAGUUGGGAGUCACCUCGAACGUCAAGGCGCCGGACUCCUAGCUCGAUGGCGAUCUUUAGCCCAUUGACAAGGGCCUCAUAUUCCGUGACAUUGUUGGAUGCAGCAAAAUGUAUUCUGAUGACAUACCUCAUAUGGACACCGAGGGGCGAGACGAAUAGCAGUCCCGCCCCAGCUCCCGUCUUCAUGAGAGACCCAUUGAAGUACAUCGUCCAUAGCUCCGCUUGAACUUGAGCUGGGGGGAGCUGCGAGUCCGUCCAUUCUGCGACGAAAUCCACCAGAGCUUGAGACUUGAUGGCUUUGCGGGGCGCAUAAGUGAGGGUCUCACUCAUGAGCUCGACCGACCAUUUGGCGAUUCUUCCCGUGGCCUCCCGACUUUGGAUGAUCUCACCCAAGGGAAAGGACGAGAUCACCGUGAUAGGGUGGCCGAGGAAGUAGUGUUGCAGCUUGCGUCGGGCGAGGAUCACUGCGUAGAUUAGUUUCUGGAUCUGUGGGUACCGUGCCUUGGUUUCUGAGAGUACCUCGCUGACGAAGUAUACCAGCCUCUGGACUGGCAGCGCAUGCCCUUUUUCCUGCCUUUCGACCACUACUGCCGCACUGACCAUCUGGGUCGUCGAGGCAACGUAUAGAAGGAGAGGUUCUGUGGGCUGAGGCGGGACCAGGACUGGGGCAGAGGUCAGUGUUUUCUUCAGGUUAUCAAGGGCUUCCUCGGCUUCGGGGGUCCAAUAGAAAUGCUUGGUUUUUUUCAAGAGCCGAUACAGUGGCAAUGCCUUUUCUCCCAACCUUGAGAUAAAACGACUUAGCGCCGCCAAACAUCCCGUGACUUUCUGCACUCCCUUGACGUCUCGGAUCGGCCCCAUUCUCGUGAUGGCCGAUACUUUCUCGGGAUUGGCCUCGAUGCCGCGUUAGGAAACUAUGUAUCCCAGGAGCAUGCCUCGAGGUACGCCAAAGACGCAUUUCUCGGGGUUGAGCUUGAUCUUGUUGGCGCGCAGGCAACUGAAAGCGAUCUCGAGGUCCCGGAUCAAGUCUCCUUGUUUCUUCGUCUUGACGAUGAUGUCGUCAACGUACGCCUCGACCGUCGACCCUAUAUGCUUGCCAAAUACGUGAAGCAUGCAUCGCUGGUAUGUCGCCCUAGUAUUUCGAUGCCCGAACGGCAUGGUCACAUAGCAGUACAUCCCAAAAGGCGUAAUGAAAGACGUCGCGAGCUGGUUGGAUUCUUUCAUUUUUAUUUGAUGGUAACCAGAGUAUGCAUCAAGGAAAGAAAGGGUUUCACAUCCCGCGGUAGAAUCAACAAUUUGAUCGAUACGUGGUAAUGGAAAAGGAACUUUCGGACAUGCUUUAUUUAAACUUGUAUAAUCGACACACAUCCUCAUUUUCCCGUUCUUUUUCUUAACUAAUACAGGGUUUGCUAACUAGUCGGGAUGGUGAACCUCCUUGAUGAAUCCGCCCGUCAAAAGCUUGUGGAUCUCCUCACCAAUGAUCUUGCGUUUCUCCUCGUCGAAGCGACGCAACCGUUGUUUUACUGGCUUGGAACCGGCUCGAAUUUCCAAGGAGUGCUCGGUGACUUCCCUCGGUAUGCCUGGCAUGUCUGAGGGACUCCAUGCAAACAUGUCGGCGUUUGCACGGAGAAAGUCGACGAGCACGGCUUCCUAUUUGGGGUCGAGGUCGGUGCUAAUCGUCACCACCUUGCCGUCGGAGCCGUUGGGGUCGAGUGGGAUCUUCUUCGUUCCUUCUGCCAGCUCGAAGUUGCCCGCGUGAUGCUUGGGCUCUGGAGCCUCUGUGGCCAGGGCCUCAAGCUUGGAGGCGAGCUCGGUGGAGUUCUCGACAGCUUCCCCGUAUUCGACGCACUCGACGUCGCAUUCGUAUGCGUGCUCGUAGGAGGAGCUGACGGUGAUAACCCCCUUGGGCCUGGACAUCUUUAGCUUUAGGUAGGUGUAGUUGGGGACAGCCAUAAAUUUGGCAUAGCCCAGACGUCCGAUGAUGGCGUGGUACGUGCCUCGGAAUCCCACCACCUCGAAGGUGAGGACCUCCUUUCUAAAAUUGGCUGCCGUGCUAAAACAGACCGGUAGGUCGAUUCGACCUACCGGCAGCGCCUUCUUUCCAGGCACGACACCAUGGAAACCGCCCGUGCUUGGUUGGAGCUGCAUCCUUUUGAUGCCGAGGAGGUCGAGGGUCUCGAGGUAGAUGAUGUUCAGGCUACUGCCGCCAUCCAUCAGUACCUUCGAGAGUCUGGCGUUGAUGAUGAUGGGGUCGACGACAAGUGGGUAGACGCCAGGGGCGACUACUUUGUCGGGAUGGUCGUCUUGAUUGAAGGUGAUGGGGGUGCUUGACCAGUUAAGGUACUUGGGUACCGCCAUCCUUGCCACAAAGACCUCACGGCGCUCUCUCUUGCGCUGCCUUGCAGUCAGCUGCGUCGAGGGUCCGCCGUAAAUCAUGUAGCAGUCAUGGACAGCCGGGAAACCCUCGUCUUCUUUGUCGUCCCCCUUGCCACUGCUCUUUUCUUUCUUCUGGUCGUCCUUCUUGAACCCUAGGCUGUCGAAAUGCCUCUUCAGCAUACGACAGUCCUCGAGCUUGUGGUUCGCCCCUCCCUUAUGGUAAGGGCAGGGCUCUUUCAGCAUCAUGUCGAAGAUAGCUCCUUCAGGGGGGCCUCGAGGUCUUUUACGAUCCAUGGCGGCGACGAGGUCGUCGUCGGAGGCCUCCCAUUGGAACGGCCGUGCUUUCUUCUUGUUGUUGUUCUUCUUGGGUCCUCGACUGGGGCACUCAUCGUCAUCGGCUGGCGACUUGCCUUUGCUCCUUUCGCAACUGAAGAAAGCACCGACCGCUUCCUCCCCUGCCACGUAGUUAGCCACCACGUCCAUCAGCUCGUUGACGGUCUGAGGGCGAUUCCGGCCUAACUCCCGCACCAAAUCUCGGCCGAGACAAAGGCCAGGAUGACGUCGUGGUCUGGGAUGUGCGGCAGCUCGGUGCGCUGCUUCGAGAAGCGUCGAGCGUAGUCUCAGAGAGUUUCUCCUGACUUCUGCUUGCACUUGCUGAGGUCCCACGAGUUGCCGGACCGUAUGUCGGUCCCCUUGAAGUUACCCUCGAAUACUCUGACCAAAUCGACCCAAUCGUGGAUCUGGUUGGUCGGGAGCUCCUCGAGCCAUCUACGGGCGGUGUCGGAGAGAAAGAGCGGUAACUGUCGAAUGAUAGCUCGAUCGUCCCCUCGAGCGCCUCCCAACUGACAGGCUAACCGAAAGUCUGCCAACCACAGCUCUGGCUUGGUCUCGCCGUUGUAUUUAGCAAUGCUAGUCGGGGGUCGAAACGGGCUGGGUUGUGGCAUGCUGCGGAUUGCUCUGCUGAACACGCGAGGGCCCGACGGUUCCGGGGCCAUCCGGUCCUCGUCGCUGUCGUACCGCCCACCGCGGUGGGCGCUGUAAUCGCGUUCCUCUAUGUCUCCAUAUCGACGGCAGCGGUGCUCGUUGAUGUCGCGUCAUGCGUCGUGCCGCCGUUGAUUGUUGACGUGGUGGUCGAGGACAAGUGCCGUCUUCUUCCCUCGAGGGGGUGGUUGCUGAUGGACCGAUACCUCCUUUUCGUUCUGGGCCGGCUCCUCACGCUUUUCCGUGGCUGCUCCUCGACGUUGAGAGGCUGAGCUCUCGGCCUGCUGAACUGCCGCUACUUGGAGAAGAGUCUGUACCUCAUCUCGAAUUCGCCGGGCCUGGGAGUUCGAGGGCUCACGCAUGUUGCGUAGCAGCAUUGUUGCUGCGACGACGUUGUGGCCCGCUCGGGGGAAACGACUGACGGGCUGCUCCGGCUCCUCGUCUCCGACGAUCUGUUGAUGCACUUCUCGGGCCCGUCUGCGGACACUUCCGCCAGGUGGGUAUGGUUGGUCCUGCUCGAGAAUCUGUUUGAGCAGGACGAGGCGCUCGCGAUCUUCGUCGAGCUUUGUUUUGAGCUCCCGUAGCUGCGCGAGUUGCGCGGCUCUGUCUUCCUGUGACGGGGGGUCGACUCGGCCAUCGUUCCCAGGCGUCCUGGGGUCCUCCCUUGCCCUAGGGGCUCGACCGGCGGCAACGGCGUCUCGUGUUUCGUCGGUGGUUUCUACCACCCCGUCGAUGUGGAAGCAUUCCCUAGUAGGGUCGUAGCUGUCGGACUCUGAGUCAGAAUCUGGCUCAGCGGCGUAGAAGCAUCCACGUCCUUCCUCCAGCAGUCAUUGCCUGAGCGAGGUGAUUGUGUAUCGCCCAGGUCCUAGGCGGCGGAGGCCUCGUACCUAGGAGAAAUUCGGCAGUUCGGACGCCUGUUGCCGUGCUUCCGCGUCGCGUGGGAGGACCAUUGGUCGCUCUACGUAUGUCUGGGCGUUUGGACAUAUUGUCUUGGCGAGCCGCGGCGUUGUCCAGGCCGAACGGCAGCGCUCUUUUUGGGGUGAACAACCCGUGCGGGAGUAGCGUCGUGGAGGACGAGGGUGCGCAAGACGCGUUGUCUCCCAACGUUGUCACGCGAUCUUCGUGGCGUCGGGCCGUCAUACCAGCGAUUUCGGCGCGCGGGGCUGUCGGCUCCUGCACCACCCCCCGCCUGGCACGAACUGGCGAUCGUGAGGAGGCAGAGGAGUGGUGGUGCUGUCCACGCCUCUUCUUGGGCGGGGAGGCAUGGUGGCGAGGCCGUCUCGGAGCCCCUAAUCGUGCGGGCUUAAUGCGAGCUCCUCCCGGUCCUUUGACCGAGAGCAGGAUCAUGUCAUAACCGAAACCGGUAGACAUGAACUCGAGGCUCCCGAACCAAAUCACCGUGGAGCGCGGAAUCGGCGAAACAAGAGUGGCCAUCUGGAGAGGAAUGGGAAAUCGGUGAAAAAACACGCAGGACCCCUACCUGGCGCGCCAACUGUCGGUGUUUUCCCCCCGGGGGGUCACACCAACGAGUGAAACUAGUGCAUGUCCCCCUUUCCAGAUGGUGAUGCAAGAAAAGACACAAAGAUUUAUCCUGGUUCGGGCAAGAGAAGGCCCUACGUCCAGCGGGGAGGAGCGUUUGUAUUAUCUUGCACCUAAGUGCUUGUACAGGGGUGAAUACAAGUCCGGUGUGGGUGGAGAUGGAGUAUGGUGGCUCUUCAACGUAUGUCUCCUGUUGUCUAUCCGCUCCUGAGCUUCUCCUUUUAUAGUCCCAAGGGGAGGCCUAGGUUACAUGCAUAGGUGUCAGAGUAGGGGUCGAUAGGGGUGUGGCGCACUGACCUACUCGAGGUCUUCGUACCAGCGUGGCCUCGAGCCGUCUAGUCUUGGUACCUUGAUGAUGAUUACGCAUGCCCCUGAAUCCUUCUCCUGCGUGCCGUCCUGGACUGGUUUAUCCGUUGCACGCUUGUACAUCGUGGUGUCAGCUGCGUCAGUGUGGUUGGGGCGCCGUCCUUCGUCGCCCAACUCUUCUCUGGGAAGGAACACGCCUGCUCGAGGAUCCGGCGCCGUGCAAAGCUUUGUCGAGCAGAGCGCUGACUUUGGGCGUCUCGAAGGGGGUGUUGACGGGACGUUCCGCCACCUCGCUGCGCCCUGCCAUGCUCUGGCUUGUUUGGUGGGUAAGGCUGCAAAAAGAACGAUUGGACGGGUGCCUGUUCCCUAUCACGCUUCCCGUGACUGACGGGUUAGGUGAGAACGCGGCAGACGCAUUAAAUGCCCUGGUUCCCGUGCCUGCGUCAGACGGCGGGCGGCGUCCUUGCGCUCGAGGCCUUUCGAUUCGUACGAGCCUGUUUCCGUAUUCGACGGUAGCCGGCGCUCGAGCCCCAGUCGAUUCGCACGACGCUCUUUCCGUGUUCGAGGCUACGAACGUCCACAACCGUGCGUGCGGCCGGGGGGCGUCGAGUCAGGGGCCCUCGAUUUGCGUACGGGUGCUCUCGUCAUGUGCGUCGGUUAAGGUACCCCUUACUGAUACCUUCGACAUCAUGCAUGCCAGAGAUUUGAUGUGCUGAGAAGUCAAAAUUUUUGGAACUAAACCAGGCCUUAGUUUCACCCAAAAACCAAAAACAUUUUAAGAUUCCCCAUCACAUCAAAUCCUGCGGCACAUGUAUAGAGCAUUAUAUAUAAAAAACAAUAACUAAUUACAUAGUUUGCCUAUAAUUUGCGAGACGAAUCUUUUGAGCCUAAUUAGUUCAUAAUUGGACAGUCAUUAUCAAAUACAAAUGAAAGUGUUAUAGUAAAAAAAAAUCAUCCCCCCAACUAAACAAAGCCUUAGAGUGUAGACGACUUUAGAGAUGUGGUGUCGCCAUGUAGGCGUUUAGAGCUUGCUACAUAUGAUGGUUUAUAUAUACAGAUGAUGAUUUAUUGAUGUCAAAGAGCGUAAAAACAUUUUAUCUCUAGAUUUUUUUUUUUCAGUUUCUGUAACAAGCUGCUAUGAUCGUGUAGCAGAGAAGCUGUGAGCUGAAUGUUGAUGAUGGACAGGAAAGUCGACACUUGCAGUGAGGCCUUGUUCCUAAAAAUUUUCAAGAUUUUCCGUCACAUUAAAUCUUUGAACGCAUACAUAAAACAUUAAAUAUAUAUAAAAAAUAACCAAUUGCAUAUUUUACCCGUAAUUUGCGAGACGAAUCUUUUAAGACUAGUUAGUCCAUAAUUAGACAAUAGUAAUUGUUUACAAACGAAAGUACUACAGUAUCCAAACCCAAAAUUUUUCACCAACUAAACAAGGCCUGAAUUAUUUUUGACUUUUGAGAAUAGUGUGAACAUGUCACCAUGCAGUUCUAGAGUGUGAGAACAAGGUCAUUAUGUUUUAUUUGAUUUAUGAAAAAAAUAUAAAUUAUAUUACAUUAGAUAUAUAAAUAUAUUAAUAUGUCAUUCAUAUUAUUCAUGGUUUUAAAAAAUAUUGUAACCAUGAUCUUCUUAUUUAUGCUUGAUUUUUAUCUAUCAGCAAGCAACAUAAUGGAUACAUAAAUCAUAUCUACAUGACUACAUAAAGCAUUAAAGAAUCAACAUACCCUUAAACAUCGCAGUCAUAGCAUCACUUGUGGGCUCCAUUUUAGUACAAAUAAAAAGAGAGGAAAGCAUGUAUAUACGUGUCGAUCCGUUGCUUUUUGUGUUAGAAGUUGUGUUAGCCUCAAGAGAAAAUACUUGAAGAAGCACCGGGUGAACAUGAUUUGCUCUAGAAUUUUUUAGCAUCACCUCAAACAAGCAUUGCUUGCCAUAGUAUAGUACAUGUGAUGCCCUAAUAUACUCUCUCCUCUUUUGGCAUCACGUAAGCGCAACAUUGUGGAGGCCCUCCAUAGUGUGAAGUGGUGCCGUAAAAAAAAGCAAAGGCCACCGUAGAAAGUGUACUCGAUGUCUAAAAUGUUGUAGUGUGAGAUCCCUAUAAGACACACACCAUAAAGUAAUGUGUCUGUCGAUAUAAUUUGGUGUUACAGAGAGAAUCGAUGAAGCAAAGAAAUUAUUAUUCUAUUUAGUUGGCACUAAUUGACACCGAGGCAAGUUGUUGCUUCACUCCUCAUUUUUUGAUAUGGAGCUAAAUCACUGGCUAUGGCGUGUGAAAUGAUUCUUCAAUCAUCUCUGUCCUAUUUUAGCACCACUGAAGGCCCAUAUUAUGGAGGGUCUUAGUACGUUAGCACCCAUCGCCAAGACACCAAAUCAUAGGUACCGUCCUACUCUAGUUAGUCGAUGAUAAUGUUGGUUUUUCGAAUUUUAGAGCCCCAUUGUAUUUCAUUCAGGGGUCUCCAAAUCAUAGGUAUUGUCGAUAAAAUAUGGCCGUCGGUCUAUUUAGGGGUAUGCCUAAGGUAGUAGAUUGUCGACAGAUAUGUGCACAAGCUACGAACUAGAUGGUGACGCAAGACACACACAAGAAUUUUAUCCAGGUUCGGCCGCCGUGAGGGCGUAAUACCUAUGUCCCGCGUCUAAUUGUAUUAAUGAUGAGUUGAGUUGAGAGGAGUCCCUUGCCCCAUCUUAUAUAGUCCGGGGAAAAGGUUACAAAUAUAGAAACUAAUCUUAGUCACUUACGAUUGUCAUAGAUAAUUAGAUAUCAAUUUCUAUUCCAACUAAUAAGGAUCUUGCUUGAUUUUCCACGUUUGCCUUUCUUACACGGAACUCCGAACAGAUCGAUCAAGCCACGAAUCAUCUUGUAAUGGGUCAAUCCUUUCGGCCCAAUCCUAGUCGUAAGGGUAUAGGGGUUUAUACCCCCGUAGCUAGUCUUCGAGCUCCAUGUAUUGUGAGACGACACACCAUCUUGAGCUUCUUCGACCAGUUGGACUUGACAUCUUCGGUCAGUAGGGAAAUAACCCAAACAGUUGCAACGGUAUUUUAACCAGCUCAUAAGAUAGUUGAUCAAUAUCGACACCGAAGAAGCAGGUUGUCCGAAUAAUGCAUGGUGCUCUUGAGAAAAAAAGAUUUCUUUCCUGAUGAAGUGUGUCCACUUUUCUUUUCUCAAAAGUAUAUAGUUUCGAAAAGCAAGCAUAUUCACCGUAAGGUGAAGUGUGCCCACUUAAUCCUCGAGCCUGGCAGUAGGUGAUGUAAGCACAUAGUGCCAGGGUCUAAAAAAAAUUUGCAUAGAAAUUCUGAUACUGAGAUGCAUCACCAGGUUGAAAGCCCUAGUUUGGUUUUGGAUAAUUGAUGAAACCCUAGUACUAACCUCUAUACUGAGUAUGUGUAGACUUAAUGAGGUUGGUACAUGCCAAGUGAUGGAGCAAGAAAUGAUCAUGUUGAUGAUGAUGAUGACCAUAAGAUGAUCAAGUGCUCAACUUGGAAAAGAAGAAAGAGAAAAACAAAACCCUAUGGAGAUCAAGGCAAAGGUAUUGCUUAGGAUUUUGGUUUUGGUGAUCAAGACACCAUAGAGGGUGUGAUCACAUUUAGGAUUGAUAGUCGUACUAUAAAGAGGGGAAUUCUUUGGCUAAGCGGUUAUCGAGUGCCACUAGGUGUCAUUGUUCAUGUGCAUGCAUUUAGAACCUAGUGAGCUAACUUAACUCCUUCGAAGAAAAUGAUUGUGAAAAUGCUAACACACGUGCACUUGUUGGUACACACUUUGUGGUGUUGGCACACUUUGAGAAGGAGGUGGAGUUUGAAGGGUAGCUCGAUGGGAUUCGGCGCUUUUUGAGAAAAUGAAGUGCAUAUUUUCUAUUGCGCCAGUGAGAAAAUUGGAGAAGUCACGGGAGUGUUUCUCGCCGGACGCUGGCCACUAAGGCACCGGACGCUAAGUCUGUGCGUCCGGUGCAAACAGUACCUGGCCCAGCUAGGGUAAGGCACCGGACGAUAGGCACCAGACGCAGGCUUGUGCGUCCGGUGGUACGUGUCCGGUGUGAGUCCGUUUUGCAGUGCUCCCUGGGUUUAAGUCCGGUGAGCACCGGACGGUCCGGUGCUCAGCGUCCGGUGCCCUACGCGUUUUGCAGACAUCCCUGAGUUUAGGACCGAUGUGCAUCGGACGCGUCCGGUGGCAACUUAGGAGUGUCCGGUGCUCUACAGGUUACCGUUAAACUCUGACACGAGAGUUUGAAAAGGCGACAUGUGGCUGACGUUGGAGCACCGGACGCAGGGGCUGAGCGUCUGGUGCCCCCUAAAGAGCGUCCGGUGACCCUGAGUUUUGCCCAGUGAAAGAGCCAACGGCUCUAUUUCUUUAAAGGGCUUGUAAAUAGUUGUUGGCCGACUUGGGGCUCACUCUCUUGGCAUUCUAACAUACUUGACAUCCUUGUGAGCCUAAGCAAACUCCAACCACUCAUCUCCUUCAUAGAUUAUUCAUCUUUGUGAGAUUGGGAGUGAUUCCAAGUGCAUUUGCUUGAGUGAUUGCAUCUAGUGGCACUUAGGGAUCGUUCUAGCUGCGGUUUUCUUGUUACUCUUGGUGGUUGCUGCCACCUAGACGGCUUGGAGCAACGGAGGAGCUUUGACGAGUUGGUGAUUGUUUGUGGCCAUCUCCCGGUGAUUGUGAGGGGUCUUGUACCUUCCCCGACGGAGAGCCGAAAGGUAACUCUAGUAAAGUGCUCGUGUCAGUGAGUUACCUCACUUGUGGGUAGGUUCUUGUGGUGUCCUAGUGGGGACGAGGUUCGUGCUACACCUCUUAGCCACCGAACCACCAAGUGUUGGUCAACACAAUGGGGACGUAGCGUGCCGGCAAGCACGUGAACCUCGGGAGAAAAAUUGUGUGUCUCCAUUGUGAUUGUUCAUUGGAUUUCUCCCGGUGAUUGGACUUCAUAUUAUUGAUUGGUUCAUCCCCUCUGCACAGCGGUAUAAAGAUCAAACCAUCUCUCUUACAUUCCCGCAAACUAGAGUGCUUACUUACUUGUAUAGAAACUUUAGGUAGCUUUCUAGUGUAAAUAGUGGCAUAGCUCUUGUGUGCCUAGUGUUCAUAUCAACUAGAAUUGUUGGAUAGGUGGCUUGCAAACACCCCUUUAGAGCUAGAGCAAAAAGCUUCGCUUUGUUAUUUACUAACCUCUUGCUCUAGUGAGUUUGUAGAAUUUUUAAAUAGGCUAUUCACCCCCCUCUAGCCAUAUUAGGACCUUUCACAGGUGCAUCGUACCGAUAUAGUCCCUGAGCUUUCUGGAAGACGAAGUAUGAGCCUUGUACCAAGGUCUAAAAAUUUUAGUAUAUGAGUCUAAUUGAUAUGUGACUGAGGAGAGCAGUCUCCAAACUGUGGUCGAAGAGUGAGUAGAGCAAUUCCCGAACACAUCGUUGGGAGUGAUCAACGAGUCCCCAAGCAUAGUUAGGAACGUAAACAUGCUCGGUGGUCGGAGCAGUCCCCGAGCACAGCGGAAGAAGUGGUCAAUGAGUCCCUGGGUAUAGUUGAUAACGUAAAUGUACUCGGUGGUUAGAGUAGUCCUCGAGCACUGCAUAAGGAGUAUCCGAUGAGUCCUGGGCACACUCAAAGACAUUACUGUGCUCGAUGAUCAGGCAGUCCCGAUCACUAGUGUCUCAUUUGUCCUGUAUUGCCUAACUUGUCAUAAUUCUUUAUCUUAUCAACAUGUCGCUGAUGUCACAAUAUUCCAAUCUCAAGCACUAUUCCACCUGUUUUAAACUUAUCAGACCGCACUGAAUGGCGGUAGCAUUAAAAAGCAAAUGUACUGUCAUGCAUCCAAAGGCGAGCCCACAGAGACGAAAUGGGCUGCAUAGCACGCGAACCAAAACAAACUGGGCCCACCUUCACUAGAACCGAUGAUGGAAAACUGCAUAUAGAUUUAGCGGAACAAUAUGGGAAAUUGAAACGACGCUUUAGACAUUAAUGGCGCAUGUCCCCCUAAAUUUUUGAGCAGAAGAAAGGGCGGCACCUGCUUAAUAAAUAGCGAUAUGAGGAACAACAACCAUUCUUUACCAAGGUAGUUGCCAUUUCGCAUCUAAAGAACCACCAUCUUCCUCAAACCUUCAAACACCCGAGCGAGAUCCAAAAUCCACCAAAAACAAAACCAAAUGGCCAAAGGUGAUGCGAAUAAGAGGACGGAAAUGAUGGCCAAGGAGUGGUGAAAAUCCAAAUCCACCACGCAAUCCAUCAAUGAACUCGUCGGCAUGGGAGUGCUGCACAACCAAGAGCUAGGAGGAUGGAGAGCACCUGGAGGAGAAAGCUUCCCUGACCUAAGACCCGGUGAGAUUGUUGUAUUCGAAGAUUUCUUUAGGAGAGGUUUUAGGGUCCUAGUUCACCCGCUUCCUUCAAGGUCUGCUUUUAUGUAACACCCAAAAUUUGCUUUCUAACUAAUAGGAUUUAAUUUGAUUUAUUUAAGCAUUUAUGUGAGCAUUUAAAUCUAGCAAAUAAAUAAUUCUGUGGAAAUUGAAAUCUAUCAUAAGUUUAGGAACAUGUUUUGCAUUCAUGCUGGCUAUGGUUUAUUUUGUGAUGUGUGUUUUUGUUUGAGAAUUAAAAGAAUUCAAAACUAUUUUGAAAAAAACUUUGGAAAAUUAGAAAAAGAAAAAUAAAAAAGGGAAAGCCACCCUGGAACCAGGCCAAGACCUGGCUCUUCCUCCCCCUUGCGCGAGGCCCAACUCCAGUUCCCAGCCCGCAGCCCAGCAGCAGGCCAGGAAGCACGUGCCCUCUCCCCCUUGCGCUCGGCCCAGCUGUUGGCAGUCAUUAUAGACCAAUCAUAAACUGCCAACUUGAUCCAAAAGGAGAAGAAGCAAUCAUAUUAUAUACACACAUGCAUUUUAUUACUAACAAGUUCCACUUGUACCAUAGUGAUUAUAUUUUGCAGGAAUUAUAGUGCAACAAGUGGAAAUGUGCCAUACCACGAAGAAAGCGCAAAGUACCAAAAGACGUAUUCAGAAAUGCGCAAACCAAGAAAAUAGAGAAAGGCCCGAACAACGCAGAACUGGGCCUGAUCGUAACCACGGGAGAGAUCCAGGCCCAGAGCCAAACCGACCACACGAAGGCGGUGGCCAGGGGGAACCACCCAGGGUGUGGCCGCACCCUUGGAGGCGGCAAACCGGGCCCAUCUUUCUCAGGCGGUUGCAUGCCGCUAUGCAUCAGACGGUUUCACCUACUACCAAAUUUAGAUGCGACGAACCGUCCUAGUUCUACUAUAAAAAGAGAGGCACUCUCCUCUUUUCAACACACAUCAAUUGGAGUCAAUUUACCUCACAGCUCUCACUUGUAUCUUUAGUCUAGAUUAGUAGUAGAGCAAGGCAAGAGCUAGCAAGGAGAGUUCGUCUCCUUGGAAGAAAGAAUCUUCUUGGUAUGAAUAAUAUUCAAUUUUAUUCCAUGAGCAAGUUCUAUUUAUCUUUAUAUGAUUAUGCAUAUGAACUAGAGUAUGGUUGUGUUCUUAUCAUGUUCAUAGUAUAUGAACUAAUUCUUGUUCUUGUGCUAUGUUCUUGAUAUGUUCAUCAUUGUUCUUCAUUGUUCAUCAGAUUAGUAUGAUUAAGAUUAGAAUUAGGAAUGGGAUGAUGGUUCACUAUGUUGUGAUGGUUGCUCUCAGCCUAGCCUGUCACUCCAAAGGGGUGGGGCCCGUGGGGGUUAGGAGUUGUUUCCAAUUACGUAAACAUGGUGUUCGGGUAUGCGGGAAUCAGUGGAUGUGCGGGUAUCUUUCAGGUAGAGGGGUAGGUGGUAGGGUACUGACAGCUCUGUCAACCUUUGCAUUCCCCCACGAUCAGGUAUUCCGAUAGGAGUUCUGUAAAGUCUCUAUCGGCUGGUUAUCCAGCUGCGGGGAUCUUCCCUCAUCUCAGGCUUAGUUAUAACUCUAUUUAUUGCUAAUUAGAUGAUCCACUAACAGUUCUAUGCAUACUUAUAUGUGACCCAUGCCUGCUCAAGUCGAUUUAUUUCUUUAUUCUUUAUUUAUUAUUUCUCUUCUAUUUUAUCCUUGAGGUUCAUCCAAUGUGUGUCCACUAUCUUGAAUAUCAUGUUUAUUCCUAUUUACUCUAUGUCUACCAAGCAUUCAAUAAGUUAUCAUGUUUACACCAUGUUUGAUCCCUUUGCCUUCCUACGGGAAUUAUAAAUUCGACACCCUUGAAUACUCAUGGGUUGAAAUACUACAAUGAUAGUUCUGUCCGCUUGCAGUUAUAUUACUCCUUCAUUCAUGAACUAUCGAUUGGUGUACCUAAGUAUCGUUACUUAAGAUUGUAAACCUUGUGCACUUUCAAGCGUAGUGCCACAGCUUUGCAUAUCGCAAGUAAAGAUGGUUAGGAAGGCCAAUCCGGCAUUCCUAAUUAUUGUUACCAGACUGCACUGCUAAGGACGUCGCCCUCGAGUUGCCUUGGGUUAUCUCUCUAAUGUAGCGAUAGUUACGGUAUGCCAACAGCCGACAUUUCUGGUGCCAUUGCUAAGGAUGGAUCUAUGGUCUAUUUUUAGUAGUGACACUAAGAAAUGCCAACAAGCAUUUCUGGCGCCGUUGCCAGAGAAGGCAAAAAUCAUACUGGCACAAACAUUGAUUGCAUAAUAAGCAUUGGUAGCCAUAGAUUAAGCAGGAUAACUUUACUGUUAUCUUUCUUUUUUUAUUGGAAUGAAAAUAGGAUAGUGUAUGAGCGGUUUCAACUUGCCGACAAACUUCCAUAGUGAUCCAGAAACACUCCUAAGGAAGAGAAGGGUUCGUACCGUCUCUUCUUCUACUAUGCAAUCGGCAAGCGAAUCAACCGUUCCAGCACCAACCGCACCAAUCGCUAUGGCCAAGACACUCCAUGACUACUCCACUCCCGCUGUUGCCAACGUGUCGACUGGGCCCGCUGUCAAUAUGGGGAAUGGAAGCUUCGAGAUCUGCACUGGCCUCAUCUCUAUGGUGCAGGCAAUCCAAUUCUGUGGCUUGCCAAGCGAGGAUGCCAACGCCCACCUUCAGAACUUCCUUGAGCUGUGCGACACCGUCGUCAUCAAGAACGUCGUGCAGAACAUCAUCAGGCUCUGUCUGUUUCCCUUUUCCCUCACUGGAAAGCCGAAACAAUGGUUUUAUCAAAACAAGGAAGCUGUUGACACAUGGGAAAAGUGCUCCGUGGCAUUCCUCACCAAGUUCUUCCCUAUGAGCAGGACCAGUGCUCUGAGGGGGAAGAUCUCUAACUUCCAGCAGUCUUCACUUGAGUCCAUACCCGAAGCAUGGGAGAGGCUCUAGGAGUACAUCCGGGCCUGUCCUCAUCAUGGAAUGGAAGACUGGCUUGUGCUCUAGAACUUCUAUGAAGGCCUCAUGGCCAUGUCAAAGGGGCACGUAGAUGCCGCAGCUGGAGGUGCAUUCCUUUCUCUCACCAUUAAUGAAGCUACUGCCCUCAUCAAGAAGAUGGUGGCAAAUCAAAGCUGGGGAGAAGGAAAGAAAACACAAAAGGGUUCGCAAUCUGCGAAGGAGGCAUAUGUGCUUGCCGUAAAAAUAGAUUGUUGCUGCAAAGGAUGGACGGACAAGUUGCAAAUCCCAACAUGGGCACCGUCCAAGCAGUGAACUCACACACAUCGUGUGAAGUUUGUGGUGACAAUAGUCAUUCAGGGAACAAUUGCCCCGAAACCCAAGAAGAAGCAGCAUAUGUCAAAAAUGGGUUUCGGCCACCACAGCAAGGUAACAAUGGGUGGAACAAUCAGCACCGCCCGCAGGGUAAUUUCUUCAAUCAGCCUUCCUUGAAAGAUGUGGUCAGAGGGCAAGCUAAAAUCAACGAGAAUCUGACCAAGAAGCUGUCCUACAAUGACAAGAUCAUUGAGAACAUCAACGCCAAGCUUGAAACUCUUUGUUCAUCUAUCAAAAGUCAGACGAGUUUCAAUAAGAUGAUAAAACAUAGAUAGCACCCAUAGCUGCAUCAAUUCCAGUCACUAACACAGAGAGGAUCCCAGGGCAACCAGAAACCUCUACUAAGUUCGUCCAUGAAGCCACAGAAGAAUGAAGGAAGGAAAGUCUUGCCAACGGACUAUAAAUGUUGAGCCCUUGCCGAAGGCAUUCGGUAGUUAUCUAAAAAAACUAUAUAUAAUAAAAAUAAAUUUUGUGCUAUUUGUGUCCCAAUAAAGAUAUCUGAAAGGGGCCUACGACAUCAAGCAAGCUUGGGGGAGGUGUCCCCGCUCAGGUAUUAUGUCUUUUUAAAUUCUUUAAAUUUCGUUUUAAUUUCCCUUUUUAUAGAAAGUUUUUAUUUUUAGUUUCCAAAAGUUUCCCUUUCUAUAGUUUUAUUUUUAGUCAAAAAUAAAGUUUCUCUGAAAAUCUUAUAAAAAUUAUUUUCUGGUAAUAUUUUGAAUAAAUAUGUGGAAAAUCAAAAUCUGGAGCAAGAUUUCGAACCAAGUCUCAUCGUAACCAGAGAGACGUUUGGGGUGACCGUUGGAGCCAGCAGCCAAAAGGCCGGGUAGAGGCGGGCCCACCACUGGUGCGGGUGCACCCUGCCCAAGGCCUGUUGGCCUCGGGAUUUGGGCAACGGCUAGUAGCCGUUGAGGGGGGCGCUCCCCCGCCUGCGAUCAACUCUAUAAUUAGAGAGGAUCCCGGGUGGAGCACCUCACCCCUCACACACACAUUUUUUUACUCUUCCCUUCUUCACUCUCUUGCUCCACUUUGCUUCAUAGCCUACUCCACAAGCUUAGUGCAAGAAAAUUCUGUCAAAAACCUCUUGCACACUUCCCUCUCCAAGCAAAAACACCAUACACUUGUGCUAGCUCGUCCACCAUGAAUAGAUUUUUCGGGCUUAGAAGGAGCCGCCGCCAACACGGGGAAGAUCCACCAACCCCUACAAGGAACGAGCAGCCGGCACAUGGAGUAGAGGAGGAAGAGCCACACGGCAACGCCAUUGACGAGGCCGACACCCCCUUCAUCGACUUGGAGAGCGAGCGGGAGAUGUAGGCAUACAACCUCAUGAAGGAAUGUGAGUUCCUCCAUUUGCCGGCAUUCAACCCCGCAUUCUUAAACCAAAUAGGUAUGGAUGUUGAGUUUGAUACUAUUUUCAAGCAUCUUGGUUGGAGUAGAAUUGCCCCCGUUCAUGAGCUUGGGUCACGUCUUUUGACUAUCCAAAUUUUGGGCACUCUACAAAUUGUCGAUUAUGGUAUUACCUUCUGUUGCUUUGGAAGAGAUUUUGGUAUUUAUUGGAAGGAUCUUGCCAACCGUUUGGGUUUCCACAAGCGGUGCUCCAUUGACUUAGGUGUUGGGCAUUCUUAACGUCACUACCAAAAGUAGACCUAGUUUUCUAAUUCUGAUAACGGCGCCAAAAAUGCCAAACCUAUCCCUCAUGCCACUUAAGCCAAGUUGUCAUCCCCAGCAUGACAUGAGAGACGCGGUAUUGAAAUAUGCAAUUCCUCUUCAGAAUAAAUAAUAAAUAAGAUCUGCAAGCGCACAGAUUAAUACCGAUGUAGCAUUUUAACCGGGAAGUAUUCCAGGUAUCGUUAUUUAUAUUUUUACCACUGGGAAGGGAUUGCUAAACAUCAAUGUUGAUUAUAGAAUGGAAUAUAGAAUUGAGUAUCUAUCAUUGCAUGUAUAAUUGAGAGCAUUUAUCUAUCUCUUUCAUGCAGGGAUAAAUGUCACAUGAAAGAUAGAUAAAGUAUGAAUGGUGACAAAGAUAAUUAAUCUGAUCAGCAUAACUUAGCCACAUAUAAAUAUGAUAAGCACCUCAAUAGAUAUUCUAGCAAGUCAUUAGCAUGGAAUUAGGACGAACUACAAGAAUAUUUCCUAAGUUAUUCUCAACUAUACAGUCUAGCAUAUCAUAGUUAGUGCAAUUAUACUUGGCAAUCAUUGCGAGACAGGACUACACCCAUGCAUAGUGAUAUUAUCAAGGAAUAUGAGAAACAUAGCAAUCACUCCCCUGUAAUAAUGUUGCUCUGCCAGCCCUAUACACGAGAGGGGGACUAUAUCAGAAUCAAUGGAGCUGUCACUACCACGAACUACCCCGCGAUCUGGCAUAUAGGGUACAAUCGCAGAUAAAUAUGGUAUAGGCACCACGCCUACACAAUACUUAUCAUUUACUCGCUGUACAUAUGGAUAAAUGCUAUACGAUCCUAAACAUGUAUAUAAUUCGAAUCUAACUAAGCCAAGCAUAUAACUAUGAUAAACUAAGAACAAUAUAAUUGUGAAUAUAAACAAGUAGAGCAAAGUCAUAAUCAAUAUAUUGAAGUAGAACAAAGUCAUAUUCGUAAUAUUGAAGAACAAAGAUGAACAAUUGAAGAACAAUAGAGAAAUUACCAAGAAUCCUCUUGACAGAUCCACAAACCAAUCGAAGAUUGACUCCUUCUAGUUCUAAUCCUAUGUAGCUAUGCUAAACUAGAGAUCUAAUUGAUGUGGUGGCUCUAGGGCUUGAUCAGAGGCUUCUUCUCCCAAGAUGAAUAAUGAAUUAGGGUUCAGAGGUCCUCUCCUCCAAGGGCCAGGGGGUCUGCUUAUAUAGUCCUUCCAAGUGAAUGUGGGCCGUCGGAUCAAACCGACAUUAAUCGCACGGUUUUCCUUGAUCCUUUAGGUCAGUGGAGCAUGAUCCGCGAAGUUGAAGCUGAUUGGCCCCGAGGCCAGGGCGGGCGCCCAAGGGGGGAGGGCGGGCGCCCUACCCCCGAGCCCGUCCGGUCUCCCGUUCGUUCCCGUGGCUUCUGGACUCUUCUAGAUGUAGGAUAAUUGCGCGGCACGUUAUUAUCUCUAUGUAAACCCGACGUGUGGGCCUUUCCUCCGUAUUUUCUGAUAACCCCCUGUAGAAAUAGACAAACCCCAAAACUCGUGGAAUUCUGUCAGAUAAAACCCUAAGUCUGGGUGUCGGUUGCAUUUGGAUCUUUUCUUUGUUUAUUUGUUAAUUAAAUUUGAUACUUAAGGACCGUCAACAUUAGGUUUCUCCCACAGGGGUUACCAAUGUCAUGCUUUCUCGCAUUUGAUCUCGUGGCAACAUGUCGUUGGAAAGUUUCAGGGGCAUUCUGCCAACAUCCAUCACCCCACUCUGAGGCUUCUCCAUAAGUGGAUCACUAGUUCAUUCUUUUUAAGAGAUGAUACGCAUCUUACUUACGAUAUAGAGUUGAAGUUGCUUCAUGCUGCGCUCAAAAAGAUUAAGGUUGCACCUGUUGUUGGGCUUGUUAAUCAUUGGUUGCAUUCCAUUAAGACUUCAACUGCUAUCAUGUGCACAUCUCUUAUUACUCGCCUUGCUGCAAGUGUUGAUCCCCAUGCUGCUAAUACCAUUAUUUACAUCACUGCUCCUCGCAUCAUGAUUAAUGAAUCAUAUCUUUCGCAUACACAUAUGAUUAAACGCGAUGAAACAGGUAAAAAGAUUUUAUAUUAUUUUCUAGGAUAUACAAACGAGAUCCAGUUACCUAACCCGGAUCUCGCUCUGUAUAAUUCCCCAUCACUCACCUUCACCCUCAUUAAGAGGGAAGGAGGACGCAGGAGCUCUGUUUCUCGCAGGAACUCAUGGAGGAGGGAACAAGAAGAGCAGGCAGCACAAGCAGCAAGGGCAGCACAAGCAGCACAGCACACUCCACCACCAGCUAUGCCAGGGAUGGGAUGGACCCCUGCUAUACCUACACUCGGAUUUACCCCUGUGUAUGGAUAUGGUAUGGGAUACGUUCCUCACCCCUACGAGGCUGGAGGUUUGAGCUGGCAGGCAGGAGGGUCGAGCUGGCAGGUGCACGUAGGCGUAGGCCCAAGCGAGCCAGAGGCAUAUGGGGUAGGGGGAUCCAGGCAUCACGAGCCUAGACACUCCUGAGAUUCCGAGGGGAUGCCACCCCCUGUUCACCCUUAGGUCACACUAGACGUCCUCAACACUCGCAUGGGAAGACUGGAGCUCCAGAAUAGGCAGAUCCAAGGUACGUUGAAUGCCCACAUCCAGACUACUACCCAAUGGUAUUAGCAGACCCAGCAGAGCUUCAUCGACCUUGAGGAUGCAAGUCAUCGCCGGCACGAGGCACAGAUGGCCUACCUGCGAUCCAUGGGACAUUUCCUUGGACCGCAGCAGUGAGCUAGCUUGGGGGAGGAACCCCAUAAGAGGUAACAUGUAUCUUACAUUCUUGCACUUAAUUUUAGUUCUUAAUUUCAGUAUUUAAAUUUCAGCAAUUUUUCAUCAUCUUUAAAAAAAAUUCACUCUCAUGUGCGCUAUGAUAUGUUAGUCUCUCUUCUGUUGAAAUGAUGAAUAGUUGCUCUGUCUAUAAUUCUCUAGUAUCUAAGUUAUAAUUUAGUGUUCAUCAAGAUUUAAGUUUGUUGGCUAAAAAUGUCUCAUUCUGAGAACUUGAAAUCUUGUGGGAUGCAAAUGCAUGAUCCUUUUCUAAGUUGUUGCGAGACAUGAUAUGGUAUAAAUAGAUUUUGCUAUGACUUUGUUCUAAGAGAAACUUGACAUCCGGAGUUUUCUUUUCAAAAAUUCAAAACAAAGAGUUCCUCAAUGAUUAUAAAAUACCUACCAAGGCCAUAUGACUUGCUUAGUAGUUUGUACACCUUUAGUCAUAUGCGGCUUGUGGCGCUUUGAGUUGAGUCAAAUCCUAGGUAUCCUAGAGUAAGAUUAUGGUCAUGCACCCAUGAUAUUAGAUUCACGCACCCACCAAAUAAAGCUGACUCUAACACUGAGAAGUUGCGCACAACAUGCACCCUUCCAUCCACCAAAAAUAUGCCAACUCUUACCCUGAGAGUUGCGCCUUAGCUUCCACCAAAUAAGUAUGCCAAACUCUCACCCUGAGGUUUGCACAUCCCCAUACACAAUUUUAGUCCUUACAUUACCAUCAUGACAUCUCUCUAUUUUCCUCUUUGAGAUCCCUUUGAAACAUAUGGGCAUCAGUUAUCCAUGAAAAAAAUGAAGGAAAAACCAAAGGGCAUGGACGGGAAAAUAAAAAUCCCAUCAGAAAUAUAUAUAUAUACACCAUUUUUUAGGGCCCAUAUGUUUACAUUAUCUCAUUCUCAUCCUCAAAUAAAAAGAGUCAUGAUACAAGGAGUAACCAAAAAUAUUUAGAUAGGACUACCACCAAAAAUUCCACACACUUGCACAUCUCAGUCAAGGUGUAUGACUUGUAUCUCCUCAUGGUCCGGGCUUUGACUUGACAACACAAGUGUCGUAAGUACGCCCACCUUUAUACCUUCCCAAAGCUCCAUUCUCAACCUUAGUGAUAGGUCUUAAAGGCAAACACAAAUGCCUUUGGUGAGGAAUACACAUUGAGCGAUCGAGAGAAUCAUUCGAGGAACUUAUUUAUUUUGCAAAAAUUUAUAAAACCUCCAGAUUGAUGGUCUAUCAAGGGAUAAAUGAAUGGUGAGUCUAUUACAACCAUUCUAUCUUGCAACCACCCAAGAACUUGGAAAAGCUAUAAGCCCCAUGAGAAGUCAAGGUAAAGAGUGGAUAGCAUGGCAACUUAUUUAAAUUGCGAAUGAAUGCUUUGUUAUAGGUAUGGUACUCUUGAAUUAUAUCGGCAUAGUAGCAACUUCUGAUCAACAACCAUACUUAAUUAUUUGCUCGAGAUGAGCAAAGGUUAAGCUUGGGGGACUUGUUGGCAGUCAUUAUAGACCAAUCAUAAACUGCCAACUUGAUCCAAAAGGAGAAAAAGCAAUCAUAUUAUAUACACACAUGCAUUUUAUUACUAACAAGUUUCACUUGUACCAUAGUGAUUAUAUUUUGUAGGAAUUAUAGUGCAACAAUUGGAAAUGUGCCAUACCACGAAGAAAGCGCAAAGUACCAAAAGACGUAUUCAGAAAUGCGCAAACCAAGAAAAUAGAGAAAGGCCCGAACAACGCAGAACUGGGCCUGAUCGUAACCACGGGAGAGAUCCAGGCCCAGAGCCAAACCGACCACGCGAAGGCGGUGGCUAGGGGGACCCACCCAGGGUGCGGCCGCACCCCUGGAGGCGGCAAACCGGGCCCAUCUUUCUCAGGCGGUUGCAUGCCGCCAUGCAUAGGACGGUUUCACCUACUACCAAAUUUAGAUGCGACGAACCGUCCUAGUUCCACUAUAAAAAGAGAGGCACUCUCCUCUUUUCAACACACAUCAUUUGGAGUCAAUUUUCCUCACACCUCUCACUUGUAUCUUUAGUCUAGAUUAGUAGUAGAGCAAGGAAGCUAGCAAGGAGAGCUUGUCUCCUUGGAAGAAAGGAUCUUCUUGGUAUGAAUAAUAUUCAAUCUUCUUUCAUGAGCAAGUUCUGUUUAUCUUUAUAUGAUUAUGCAUAUGAACUAGAGUAUGGUUGUGUUCUUAUCAUGUUCAUAGUAUAUGAACUAGUUCUUAGUUCUUGUGCUAUGUUCUUGAUAUGUUCAUCAUUGUUCUUCAUUGUUCAUCAGAUUAGUAUGAUUAGGAUUAGAAUUAGGAAUGAGAUGAUGGUUCAUUGUGCUGUGAUGGUUGCUCUUAGCCUAGCCUAUCACUUCGAAAGGGUGGGGCCCAUGGGGGUUAGGAAUUAUUUCUAAUUAUGUGAACAUGGUGUUCAGGUAUGCGGGAAUCAGUGGAUGUGCGGGUAUCUUUCGGGUAGAGGGGUAGGUGGCGGGGUCGUGACAGCUCUGUCAUCCUUUGCAUUCCCCCACGAUCAGGUAUUCCAUUCGGAGUUCGGUAAAGUCUCUAUCGGCUGGGUAUCCAGCUGCGGAGAUCUCCCCUCAUCUCAGGCUUAUUUCUAACUCUAUUUAUUGCUAAUUAGAUGAUCCUCUAAUAGUUAUAUGCAUAGUUAUAUGUGACCCAUGCCUGCUCAAGUAGAUUUAUUUCUUUAUUCUUUAUUUAUUAUUUCUCUUCUAUUUUAUCCUUGAGGUUGAUCCAAUGUGUGUCCACUAUCUUGAAUAUCAUAUUUAUUCCUGUUUACUCUAUGUCUACUAAGCAUUGAAUAAGUAAUCAUGUUUACACCAUGUUUGAUCCCUUUGCCUUCCUACGGGAAUUAUAAAUUCGACACCCUUGAAUACUCACGGGUUGAAAUGCUACAAUGAUAGUUCUGUCCGCUUGCAGUUAUAUUACUCCUUCAUUCAUGAACUAUCGAUUGGCGUACCUAAGUACUGUUACUUAAAAUUAUAAUCCUUGUGCACCUUCAAGCGUAGUGCCACAGCUUUGCAUAUCGCAAGUAAGGGUGGUUAGGAAGGCCAAUCCGGCAUUCCUUAUUAUUGUUACCAGACUGCACUGCUAAGGCCAGCGCCCUCGAAUUACCUUGGGUUAUCUCUCUAAUGUAGCGAUAGUUACGUUAUGCCAACACCUGAUAUUUCUGGUGCCAUUGCUAAACAUGGAUCUAUGGUAUAUUUUUAGUAGUGACGCUAAGAAAUGCCAACACCAGCGAGCGGCCCAGUACACCCCCAGCAGUGCGCCCUCCUCUCUCUCUGACAUGUGGGGCCCGCAAGUCGGCAUCCUCCUCCAUCUCCUUCCUCGCGCUGUCACCGAGCCGGACACCCCGUUGGCAACCAAUCCCAGAUUCUUCACGAUUUUCUCGUCCAAGCGCAAAACCGAGUCCUAUAAAGCUCUUUCGCCACCCCGCAGCUCCCUUUUUCGCAUCCGAGCCAUCCAAACCAAGCCCUAGCCUCGUAUACCGCGAGUUUCGGAUCUUGCCGAAGUUAUCCUCCGCCACGCCGAGCACCAAGCCACCUUCGCCCCCUCCUGGCUCAAGAAAAACGUCGUGGUGAGUUCGCGAAGUCCUCCUCCAUCUCUUGGUGUAUUUCUUUCAUCUUGAGAGGCCUGGAACCCCGAGAUCAAUCGUCACUGGUGAGCUCCAGGGUGGCAUCUAUGGCGCCGCCGCGCCAGAGUUGAAUUCCGGUGGUCGGAAUCCUCUCUGGCUUCUUAUAGCCGUCCAUCGCGCGAUCUACGACCAAAAACACUAGAUACCGUUUCGGCCGCCACUUUCGCUAAAGAGCCCCUGCUCUUUACUUAAAUCAACCCGUCGUCCCUUGGCGGCCUAGAGAAAUACAUUUUCUAUCUUCUAAAAACGUAAACAGCUCGGUUUAUGUUCAGAAAUAGGUUUUCACUAUUUACAGUUUUGCCACCAGAUUUAAAUUGCUUAUAACAUGCUAAUUUUAACUCUGAUUUGACCCAUUCAAAUUGCGUUAGAUUCGUCUCCUCGUGAUCUAUAUGUUAGUAUCACUAUAUACUAAGUUUCUAAAUUUUUAAUUUCGUGGUACUAUUCAAUUAAUUAUUAUUCUAUAGGAAAUCUUAGAAAAUUCAUAACUUCACCGUUUCAACUCCGAUUUUUGUGAUCUUUACGUCUGUGUGAUUAUAGCGCUACGUAGAACAUUUUUUAUAAACUUUUAUAUUUGUUUUAUCACUAUUGGUGUAUUGUUAUAAUUAUAGCUUGCUUGCUUUGUGUAUGAUUGUCCAUUAGAAUGUGUGUUGUUGAUUGAUGAUCGAGUAUAGUCGGUGAGCAAUACGUUGGUGAGCAAGACCAAGUCUUUGACGACCAGCAGGAAUGACAGGAAAGCUUUGAUCAAGGUAAGUAUAACUUGGAACUAUCCUUGUUACCUAUAUACAAUUAAUACAAUAUAUAUCAUAUGCAUGUAUCCACCUUGACAACCCUAGCAAAAUCAUAGAUGAUUGUUAUCUUGUGUUCCUUGAUACCUAUUUAGAUAUGCAUUUGGGUAGUUCUUGCUAGUGCUUGAUUAUAAUCCAUGAUCUUGUAACAUGAAUAUUUGGAUAUACAAUAAACAAUAAAAUAAGCUUUCUAGCAACUUGAACAUAAAGGGUGGAAAGAACUCUAGUUUUUGCUAGAUUGAUCUUGACCCUCCAUAAGGACUUACCCCUUGGCAAAAGCUGGGACAAGUCAUACAACCAUGAGGGCUACAUGGCUCUGAUUUUAGCUCAGUAUGAGGAUCUUUUUCUAGCUUGUUAGCGGUUACCUUAAAUGGCGUAAGAAUGGCUAGACACGUUGGGUAUAGUGCGGCCUCUGUCUAUGUGUAUAGGCUGCGUGUUAUGUGCCAUGGAAGGGGGGCUCUAUAUCUGCCUGCCAAGUGAAUCUAAUGGCCCUAACUUGUUAGACGAAACCUAUGAAAGGCUUCAUAGUGAUCCUUGCCGACCUCCCUAGGAAGGGGGUUAAGAGACUUUCAACCUCGGGUGAAAGGGUAAAUCACAACUCAUGGAUAAAUAUGUACAAACUCUGCAGAGUGGUAAAUCUGGUAUACUAGCCGUGCCCACAGAUACGAGCGGCCCGGAAAACUAAUGGAAUAGAUGGACACUGAUGAACAUGAUUAAUGAUAAUAAAUGAUGGUUUAUGAUGUUGUUUAUAUGUGUUAUUCUUAAUUCUUGUAUACAUUGAUCAUGUGGUUAUGUGAUUUAAUUAUGCUACCUUGAUAUUUGCUAUCUAAAUAUAAACAUGCUAUCUACAUAUAAAAGGUAAAUGCAGUCAAACCAGUGUCAGCUCUUUGAGCCUCAUGAACCCCUGGUUAUACUUGUUGAGUACGAUAUGUGCUCACUCUUGCUAUUUCACAACACCUCAGGAUAUGUUAAUGAAGAUGACUGGAGUGAGGACUACUGUUAUGAGUACUAGGCUUGGAGUCAACUAGUUGACAGUGUCCCUGUGUGGUGCUUCCGUUGAGAGUAUCUUUACUUUGUUUGAGAUUAUGUAAUAUUUAUUAUUCCACUAUAUAAUAAACAUUGUGAUGGUACUAUUUGAGAUUUGUCAACUUAUGUGUGUGACUGUUUCUGGGGUGCACAUAAGCCUUUUAUGCACUCUAUUUCGCUCUUGAAAUUUGGGUGUGAUAAAUGGGUAUCAAAGCUUUGUUGACUGUCGGACGCAAGUCUUGUUAGAAAGUGGCCGUCUUAAGAUUUUAAAAUUGCUAUAAAAUCCUUGUUCUAUAAACCUUGAUACUUUCCUCUACACUAUAUCCUUUCCAUUGCUAUUCAUCUUCACCUUGUUGCUUAUUUUAAAAGACUUGUUCUCACCCUCACUCCUUGCUUUGAUAUGCUUCUAGAACUUUUUCUUACCACCUUCUGGCGUCAUUGAGAUAGGAGUUUUAGGAUCUUUACCCUUAAUAGGAAAAGAACGAUAGUACCGCAAGUUGAGUCAAUGCUUGAAGUGUGAAUCUUUGAUGCUUGGUUUGGUUUGUUAUUAUGCUUAUGCUUGAUUUGGAUCUUUGUACAGAGUGUAAUGAUCUUGUGGGAUUUCUCCACAAUUUCAUUUAGUUAUAGGCCUAAGGCAUAAGGAUUAAUGAACUAAGUAGUUGGGUUUGGUUAAAAUUCUAUUUCUGUCCCUUGCUGAUUUCUGGAGGAGUCUGCAGUAAUUCUAGUAUAUCUCAAAUUUUGUUUCGUGCAAAGUUUAGCAAAUAUUUCUGGGAACAACUAGACUUCAUUAUCUUUCCAAUUCCACAAGAAUGACAGUAUUAUCUAUCAUGGUCUGUGAGAUAUAACUGUUCAAAGUUGAAGUUUCUAUGUAGCCUGGAAUUCUGGAACAGUUUUGGUUAUGCCCAGUUUUGACUAAUUUAUCGACAGAAUCUGUUAAUAUGGUCUAAAUGAAAGUUGUAGAUAAGUUCUUUAUAUUUCUAACGGUGUAAAGAACGGCUUCUUUUGAGUUCUGGAAGUCGAGAUAUGACUGGUUUUCCGAACUGUUGAUGUUGGUUAUCGCCCAGAAUAAAAAUCAGAUUUAACUAUCUCUUGUAUUUAUCAUGUUGGAUAUUACUGAGAUCUGUUUCUAUACCUUGGGAUGCAGAUGGCAGCAAGAGGCGGAGGCAGAGGUAUAAGUCGUGGUAGGGGUGCUAAUGCCCCAAUCUCUGUGGAGAAACUAAUGCAUACACAGAACGAGAUGAUGCAUGCAUUCCUACAACACCUUCAGCAUCAACCUGCACCACCACCACCACCACAUGUCUAUGUGAUGGAUAAGCAUGGCGAGUUUAUGAAAGGACGACCUCUAGUAUUCACUCAUUCUACUGACCCUAUGGAAGUAGAUGAUUGGUUGCGUGUUGUGGAAAAACAGUUAAACAUAGCUCAGUGCAAUGAUUUAGAGAAGGUGCUAUAUGCUUCUGGACAGCUACAGGGAGCAGCUCAGACUUGGUGGGAGUCAUACCAAGCUGCUCGUCCUAAUAAUGCUCCCCCUGUCACUUGGCUAGAAUUUUACAGAGAUUUCCGAGCAUGACACAUCAAUGAGGGAGUGAUGGAGCUCAAGCAGGAAGAAUUUAGAUCUCUCAGAAUGGGCUCUAUGACUGUGGCUGAGUAUCAUGACACGUUUGAGCAGUUGGCCCGCUAUGCCCCUAAUGAGGUCAGGGAAGAUGUUGAUAAACAACGUCUAUUUAUGAAAGGCCUUUAUUAUGAUCUCAGAUUGCAGUUGGCUGGAAACACUUACCCCACUUUUCAAGCUUUAGUGAACUGUGCCAUUGUGCUGGAUGAUAUGCGCAAGAGUCAAGAUCGGAAGAGGAGAAUGCAAGGACAAAGUCUGGGUAGUAAUAACCGCCAGCGUUUUGGCUCUCAACAAGGUUUCCAUCAGAGUUAUCAGGGACUAGUUAGUUAGUGGAAUCAUGAUCAGUAUCCCCAGCAUUUUCAGAAUCAGCAACAGAGUGGGAAUCAGCGCUUUCAUUUUCAGCAGCGUAACUCUUAUCAGCAGCAGGAUGGUCGACAGACACCUCAAUCAAGGAAUCCUAAUGCCACCCCUAGGAAGAACAGUGCUCCCAACACUCCUAACAGCGGUUUCCGCUGUGGAAAGGAGGGACAUAUGUCUUAUAAUUGUCCAGAUAACUUCAACCCACAGAAUUCCCAAAGGCAAAAUAGCAACCAGGAGAACAAUCGAACACCUAACACUGGAAAAGUGAAUCAUGUGUCUGUAGAGACAACUAUGGAGGAACCUAAAGUUAUGAUUGGUAUGUUUGAUGUCCAUUCCACCCCUGCUACUGUUCUUUUUAAUUUUGGAGCUUCCCAUACAUUCAUUUCACAAGCUUUCGUUAGGACACAUAAUAUACCCGCUUGUGCCAUGAAAAGCCCCAUAACUGUAAAUUCACCAGAAGGAACUAUACCAGCUUCACAUUGUUGCUUUCCAAUUAAUUUGACUCUAAGGGGGGUAGACUUUAAAGUGAGCCCCAUAGUGCUGAGGACAGUUGGAGUUGAUCUAAUCUUGGGUACAGAUUGGAUGAUGCAACAAGAUGCAAAGACUAAGUGUGAAGGGAAGGUAAUGGAACUAACAUCACCAACUGGAGACUAACUCAAGGUUGAGGUUAAGGUGCAGGAACAAAAGACAGCCAUAGUGAACCAGUUGGAUGAUGAUGCUAAACCUCAGGAUCAUGUUGUGAAUGAAUUUCCAGAUGUAUUUCCAGAUGAGUUGCCAGGUAUGCCACCUGACCGUGACAUUGAAUUUAUUAUUGAAUUGCUACCUGGUACUGCACCCAUAGCUAAGAGACCAUAUAGAAUGGGGGUUAAUGAAUUAGAAGAACUUAAGAAACAAAUAAAGGAAUUGCAAAAUAAAGGGUUCAUUCGUCUGAGUUCUUCACCAUGGGGUGCACCAGUUAUCUUUGUUGAUAAGAAAGAUGGUAGUCAGAGAAUGUGUGUUGAUUACCGAUCACUCAAUGAAGUUACUAUCAAGAAUAAGUAUCAUUUGCCUAGAAUUGAUGACUUAUUUGACCAGUUAAGAGGUGCUUGUGUGUUCUCUAAGAUUGAUCUACGAUCUGGUUAUCAUCAGUUGAAGAUCUGCAAUUCAAAUAUACCAAAGACAGCUUUCACAACAAGGUAUGUGUUAUAUGAGUAUACAGUUAUGUCUUUUGGUUUGACCAAUGCACCAGCUUACUUCAUGUACAUGAUGAAUAAAGUAUUUAUGGAGUAUCUUGAUAAGUUUGUGGUGGUAUUUAUUGAUGAUAUACUGGUAUUCUCUAAAACAAAGGAAGAACAUGCUGAACAUCUGAGAUUGGUCUUACAGAAACUUAGAGAACAUAAGUUGUAUGCUAAGCAUAGUAAAUGUGAGUUUUGGUUGGAAGAAGUUUCUUUUCUUGGUCAUGUUGUCUCUAAUGGUGGUAUUGCAGUGGAUCCUAGUAAGGUGAAAGAUGUGCUGAAUUGGAAACCGCCUACAGAUGUGAGUGAAAUUCGUAGUUUUCUUGGUCUAGUUAGUUAUUAUCGUAGAUUCAUUAAAGGAUUCUCAAAACUUGCAAAGCCUAUGACUGCUCUGUUAGAGAAGAAUGCUAAGUUUGUAUGGUUUGAUAAGUGUCAAGCUAGUUUUGAGGAAUUUAAGAAGAGAUUGACUACUGCACCUGUGUUGGUAUUGCCAGAUCUGAGUAAGAGUUUCUCUAUUUAUUGUGAUGCCUCUCGUCUGGGAUUGGGUUGUGUUCUUAUGCAAGAAGGCAGAGUUGUGGCAUAUUGUUGACGGUCCUCAAGUAUCAAAUUUAAUUAUCAAAUAAACAAGAAAAGGAUCCAAAUAAAAUCAACAUCUAGACUUAGGGUUUUAUCUGACAGAAUUCCACGAGUUUUGGUGUUUGUCUAUUUCUGCAGGGGGUUAUCAGGAAAUAAGGAAGAAAGGCCCACAUGUCGGGAUUACAUAGAGAUAUCAACCCACCGCGCAAUUUUCUACCAUCUAGAAGACUCCAGAAGCCACGGGAAGGAAGCGGAGCCCGAAAGGGGCCAGGCCCAGGGCGCCCGCCCUGGUAGCCUGGGCGCCCGCCCCCCUGUUGGAGCCAAAUCAGGACUCUUUCGCUCGGGAUAUUCCACCGACCUAUUGGAUCAAGAAAAACAUAGUACCACCUCGCCUAUCGACCCAAAAACGCAUAGAAGGGGAGGACUAUAUAAGCAAGGCCCCCUGGCCCCUGGAGGAGACAAGAAAUUAUCAUAGAGAUUGAGGGGUGCCCUCGAAGGAAAACCUCUUCUCUAAAUAAUACUUCUUUUUAGGCUUAGCAACCAAUGUAAAGUAGAAAUAGAUCUUCUAGUUUCUACUAGAUUGAGAGAGAUAGAGUGGAGGUGUGGAUCGGAGGAAGGCCGGCCUGUCGGUGUCUACUCCGAGUUGUACCUGCGGGAUCAAGUCUCCUAACCCGAGGCUUGCUUCUAAGAUUCUUCAGUAAUUCGACUUCUAAUACUAGUAAGUUCUUGUUUUAUUGUUCUUUGGUUUAUGAGUUUACUUUAAUCCUCUUCCGGUUGAGUAUUAGAGUAAUCACUUGUUAGCGUAAACGUGGUGUUUAGGCUAGGGUACUCAUAGAUAUCCCCUGACUAGCUGGACCGUGGUAGUAGCGAGGAACGUGACAUUUCCGAGUUACCUUUGCAGAUCACAUCUCGUUAGCAGGACGGGUAGGUUUAUAGGUGCGGGUCGAACAUCCUUUGUGUUGUCUAGAUUCCGUGAGCCUCCCCAAUAGAACAGUAGAUCAUCCUUACCAAGGUUAGAACGAGACUACGGUUGCAGUCUUCUCUAUACAUCACUCACAUCGAGAGACAUUCUUUGUAGCCUAAAGGGAUAGUAGCAAUAGAUUUGGUUAGUCAGAUGCACCCUUUCUCCCAGUGGUAAAAAUAUAAAUACGAUAACUCUGGAUAACCUCCCGGGUGAAAUGCUCACCGAUAUCCGUGCGCUUGCGGAUCAUUUUCUAAUUGCGUUACCAAAUAUCAACAAGCAUUUCUGGCGCCGUUGCCGGGGAGAAAGACGGUUUGCUGAGAUAACUUUGAGUCUUGCUAUUAUCUUGUAUUAUACUUUUAUACUUUUAUACUUUUAUCCUUUUAUUUUUAUCUUUAUGGAUAACUCAAAUUCCAUACCUAUAAUUAAAUUCUUUGCACCUUCGGAGACCAGCCAUAGACCAUGGGAGUCAACACGUCCUGCCCCUAAUUAUGAUCUGUGUCCGGAGUUGAUUGCAAUAGGUCAAAACCAACCCUUUUCUAUAGCUGAGGUCCUAUCUUUUAAUCAAGAAGAUAAUGCACUUUUAGCUACACCUAGGGAAUCUUUUAAUCUUUCUAUAAAUUCUGGUUUAGACCUAGCCCUACAAGACCAUGUUUUUCCUAGAUAUUUUCACAUUGGUCUUAAUCAUAUAACCUUUGGUAGAGUCUUUCUUUCUUUAUCUGUUAGUAAAGGAAGGUAUGUCUUCAUUCGUGGACAUCUUUCUUGUACUAGUCUUCAUAGAAAAAUCUUAGAGAUAGAGAAGGAAUCAUCUCCCAGACGAGGAAAGGAAGUUUCAAUAGCCGAUUUCCAAACAUUUCAGUCCCAUGAUUCAGCUAUCCAACCCAUCCUUGAGCUUAAUAAAUUCUACUAUGCUCUUUCUUGAACCUCCUGAUAAUCCUAUGAAUCUAUCUAGACAUCCCAUGCAUAAGAAGGAGGAUCGAGAAGAGCAACAUCAAUGGCUAGAGGGCAUUAAAAAUCCAUGUGCUAUCACCAUUGAAUGGAUAGAUAAAACAAAAUUGAGAGACAAUCCUAGAGGAAUUUUAAGCAUUCAUGAAGAAUCAUCCUUGGAGUUUGAGAAUGAGAGAAACAACAGUGAGCAUGGAAGUUAUUUCAUAAAUACCUCACCUAGUCCUUGCUCAUAUAAAACAUCUCUCUAAUCAAUUUGUCUCUCCAUCCUUACCACAUUUGAGAUCUCCAACCCCCUCUUCUUUUCUAUUUAUAAAAACUUUAAAAGGGCGGUUGUCGAUGCAUAUGUCUAUAAUAAAUAUUGCAGAUCUCGUUGAGUUAAUUGAUGGUUCCCCAAGGACAAGCUUAGUGUCCUAAAACAAGCACUUCUAAUUAUUUGCAACAUUGCCUUGUGUAUUGAGCAUAUAAAGAUAAUUGUAGAAAUAUUCCUUCGGGUAUUCUUGCCACUAACCUUUCUAGGAUUGGAGCAAGAAGAUCGGAUGAAUGACAAGCGCAAGGUAUGCCCAACCAAUCAUCAUGCAACAUUAAAUUAAAUUCAUCCAAUCUUGAAUUUUGCAAAAUUCAAGCUUGGGGGAGUACUUUACAUAAAACAUCCUUUGCCAUGUUGCUAUGUUGGUUGUCCUUACCUUUGAGACAUGCUCAAUUUGUUAAAUACUAAUCACACUACUUCAUCUCCACUUGAGUAGAUCUCUAUAAAAGCCAUCAUGCUACCUUUGUUUAUCCUAGUAAGUGUUAGUUUGGAAGUACUGGUCACACUUCCAAUGGCAUUUAAAUUAAGUGUGGUGCUUAGGUUAAAUAGCCUUCCUUAAUCUGAUUAGACAUGGAGUCUAGUUUGGUUACUGAACUAAAAAACUGCUUGAGUAGAUAUUGGUAUAUUUUGUUGGACUAACCCCUAUAGGAAAACUUUCAAUAUCAACCUGGGAAGUCCUGAGAUGCAAACUCAUUAGAGAUGAAGAAAGUGACACAUGAAGUUUAACAAUUUGCACAAGAAAGACGUAGCUCAUAAGAGAUGAUUCAUGGAGGGUGCCACAAACACGAUGCACAACCGCUAAGAAAGGAAAGCUUCCACAAGGUGAUACUGUACCAUCACUCUUCAAGUAAGGUAACAUCUUAAGGUACUUGACUAACACUUUUAUAAGCUCCUCCUUGGUUCUGGCAUUCACAUAAAUAAAGAGACAAACAUGUAUGAUUUAUAACUCCAAAUUAACCAAUUCAAUUAAUUCAACAUGUUUAGUCCUUUAAUCUUUGUUCUUAGUACUACCUUCGUGACCCCACACUCCUAAUCAUAUAAGCUAAAGUAUUGCACAUGCAAUCUUUGGAAGAUAUAAACAAAACAUAAAUAUAGAUAGAUUAUCUUUCCAUUAGGUUGAGCCAUCUGAUCUGACAAAUGCUACACUCAUGAUCCAUCAACUUUGUCUUGCUCACCAUGCUUAAGGUUAGAGAGGAACAAAUACACUUUUGGUUCUGUUGGUGUUUUGCACCAACAGGGCCCAUGCACUUGAUCUCUACCUUGUCUCUAUGAGCAGGAACACUUCGAGCAUAAUAUGAAGGAGUUUUACAACUCCCAGAUUCCACUAAGUGAAGAACUAGGAUCUACGAGCACAAACACACUGGAGAUACUGGACGCUCAGGCAAUCACUGCCCUAAGAUGCUUGACGACGUGAACUACAUCAACAACAAUAACAACUAUUACUACAACCGUCCUCAACAACAUCAAGGUUGGAAUCAACAGAGGCCUAAUUACUCAGAGAGGUGAUCUAGGACGUCCCGUCAUCCCGAUCUCCAUCGGCAUGGUGGACUUCCCAGAAGCACUCUGCGACUUUGGCUCCAGCGUCAACAUUAUGCCCAGGGUUGCAGAUCGGACACUCAGUUUCCCAAAGGAAAUAUUGAAGAACCUCUGCGUCCGAGUUGGUACCUUAUACGCUCUAGCAGACUUCAUGGUGAUAGAGACUGGUACUGAGGAGAGGGUACCCAUCAUCUUAGGGAGGCCAUUCCUAAACACCAGAGCUGUCAUCUACGCUAAUGCUGCCAAGAUCAGUUUCUACAUCAAGGGGAAGAAGGAGACUUUCCUUCAAGAACAAGACCACAAAUUUCAGAGCAAUCCCGACAUGAACCAAGGAAGAGGACCAACAGGAGGAACAGGAACAAGCAAAUGUGGACCGAGUCAGCUAAGAUGGUCACUGCAGUUCAAGGAGGUCAAGAUCGUCGACUCAAGUCACCUUUCUUGAUCAAGAAGGACAACCCUGGUGUUCUAAGCAUUGAGUGCACAAUCAACAGAUACUCUUUUCAGAGGACACUCUACGACACCGGAUCUGACGUCAACAUAAUGGCCGUAGUCACUUAUCAGCUCCUGCAUGAAACCAUGCCCCUACAACCAAUAUACAUUCAGCUAUAGAUGACUUUCAAGUUAUUGACAUGGGAGAAGAUGAAUAUGAUCCACCCACCAUCCUUGGAAGACAGUUCCUCAGCACUAUCAAAGCCAUCAUCUAUAUUGGAACCGGAGAAGUCCACAUACACUUCUCCUCUGAGUAGGUAUGCCGCUGUUUUACUGACCCUAACUAUAUAGUUGAAGACUCUAAGCAGGUCAGGACAAGAAGAAGACAUCGCAACCGCAACCAGAGGAGGCAAAUCAUCAAGGACGGAUGGGUAGACUACGAAGAAGAAGUGAUAAGGACUGAAGACAUACCACUUGAACAUAACUGUCCUGAGGAGACCAUAGCACCGAGUCAGGUGUGGAGAGAGAAUAUAGUUACACACGAAGAGGAGGCGCCACCGGAAUCACCGACUACGUCAUCCAGCGAAUCCCAGGACGAUUAAGAAAAUGGAGAGUCCCGCUCGGAGGACUUAAAAACACCGAACGCCUUGCCAAGAGGUAAACUUGGUAGUUAUCCUUUCCCUUUUAAUUAUUUCAAAUAGUUUACUUAGUUAAUCAUGUUCGUAUUAUCCUAGAAAGAAAAUAAAAAUGUGAAAAAAACUGUAAGCCCCAUGUGAGUAGACGAGUGGCAUAAAACCCAUAAGUACAUUCACUGUGGUGGCAUAAAAAUAAAAUAAAUAUUUUUCUGCUUUAUAAAAACAAAAAUAUAAAAACAGGGAGUAAUAUUUAUUAAGGAGUCUCAAGAUAAUAAAGGCUAGAUAUUUAUGCUAACACUUAAUCAGUUCCACAAGCUUUGUUGUCUAUUUGAGCUCCACAGAAUUUAAGAAUCAAGAAGACUAGCAGACGGAGGACAUUCUAAUCGCUGUCAAAAUAUUGCUGACUUUCAAACACACCUCUGCCACCUGCUAGCUACAUCAAGAGAAAUUACGUCAAAAUUCAGCUUGGGGGAGAGCACCCCCAUUUAUCUCGAUAAGUAUUUCUAUCUAUCUUUAUACUUAUACUAUAUUAGAAUAUAAAUACACAUAACUAUGAAAAACCAAAUAAAGAUUUUAUGCUUAUAUAUAUUUUGCUUAGUGUGUUUAAUAAAUAAAUAAAGUGGCUAUGCUAAUCUGUAUCUAAUAAAACUUAAGCAUGGAUAUGAUGAAUAGUUGCUCUGCCUAAUUUGCAAAUUUGAAGUUCUCUCUCAAGUUUAGAUAUAACUGUUAUAAUUUAAGGCUUGCUCUAGACCUAAACUUGUGGGAUGAAAACUUGAUCUGAAGUCUAAGUUGUUAACGGAUACGAUAUGGGAAGGUUGAGCUGCUGUUUAUCUGUUCCUAGAGAUGCUAGAAUUCUGGAGAAUUUUAUCUUUGAAAAUCUUUAAAAUAUCACAUGAUGAGUUCCUGUAUGAUGAGAGUUUAAAAUCCUACCACAGCCAUAUAUACAUGCUUGCUAGACUUUGAGCCACACAUUUACUUUUUACUGCUUAUGAGCAUUGAGUGUGGUCAAGCUGUGUAGACCCUUAGGAGCUUGUCAUGUGGUUAAAAUCAAGAUUCACUUGCACGUUCACUCAUACAUGCUACUUCUACUCCGGAAGUACCAUCCACAUAUAUCCACUCAUUUCCAUCUCCACAUUUACCCAAAAGUAUUCUACUCCUAAUCCGGGAGAGAAUAACUAAAAAUAUUUCUGUUUUCCCCUUGUGAAAUAAAUGCUCAAGUUAUCUUGUUACUACCACUUGCUAUAUUAUCUCAAGAGAUGAAUGCUCUGAAAGAAAAAAAAGAAAAAAAAAAGAGAUACGAGGAAAUAAAAAGGGGUAAGUGCCCGGAACCUCGAAGAAAAAGAAAAAAAAGUGAGACGAGAGGUAAAAAUGGACAAGUGUCCGACAGUAGAAUUAGGGGUACAAGAUACCCACCUGAGAGGAAAGAGAAAGAAAAUAUAGAGCAUCUCAUUCUCCUCAUAAAGUUUCAAAAGCAAGGAAGGUAUGUAUCCCCUCAAAGAGCAAAGUAGAAUUUGACUUCCACCACCAUUAUCACCAUCAUCACCAUACACCAUUCACAUGCACAUCUUGAUUUGGCUUAUUGAUUUGUUUCUUUGGAUCCAUGGUUUGACUAUGCAAUAAAUGUCUUGUAAGUAUGUAUACUUUAUCUCCCACCUAUGAGCUCUAGAUAUUAAAGCCUUAUUAGAGUAGGGUGAGAGAGAAGACAAUGUCACUAUGCUUCAUACCACAAAUACCACAUAUCUUGAGAGAAGGCAUAUACCAUCACUGCCUUGGUAAGGAUCCAAAAAUACCACAAAAGAGAGACCUGAGAGAAUCAUACAAGGAAUUUCUGAGUUUUAUUUGAAAAUCUGCAAAAACCCCAGAGCUAUAGCUAUCAAGAAUAAGAGACAUGGCACUUGGCUAGUGUUCUAUCUUUUAACCACUCAAGAUAGAAGUGACGGUUACAAGUCCUAUGGUGUAGGUAAUGUAAGUAAGUUUUAAGUCUUAACAGUUUAUUCUAACUCAGAGAUGAGAUCUUGCUUAAAUGCGUGUGUACUUCUAAGAAAUGAAACCACUGUAGAAACUCUUGAGUUCAUCCUUGCUCAGGGACGAGCAAGAGGUAAGCUUGGGGGAGUUUGUUGACGGUCCUUAAGUAUCAAAUUUAAUUAUCAAAUAAACAAAGAAAAGGAUCCAAAUAAAAUCAACAUCUAGACUUAGGGUUUUAUCUGACAGAAUUCCACGAGUUUUGGUGUUUGUCUAUUUCUGCAGGGGGUUAUCAGGAAAUAAGGAAGAAAGGCCCACAUGUCGGGAUUACAUAGAGAUAUCAACCCACCGCGCAAUUUUCUACCAUCU